Molecule: long non-coding RNA, 81589 nt
Filed under: Malus domestica (apple)
Lineage: Eukaryota; Viridiplantae; Streptophyta; Magnoliopsida; Rosales; Rosaceae
Description: long non-coding RNA (MDOM_LNC002112)
Source: RNAcentral
CACAUAUCUGUCUAUAUAUCUAAUUAGAUAUGUUACUCUAAUUCAGCAAUAGCUUCUAACUGAAUUUUUAGAUUUCUUGCAGGUGUAGUUGCAUUUGUUCGUGCAGGACCUGUAGAUGCAAAAGGAUUGGGAGGCAUGGUUAAGAUUUCUCCUCCUUCCAGCAUUUGAACAACUUCUUUCAUGGAAGGACGACCCGCUGGCUGCCACUGGAUGCACCAGAGCCCUACAAUUGCGAGUUUCUUUGGAGUUUUACCAUCUCCAUCCUCCCCGAGAUGGAUUCUUAGGUCCUCUCCUUCUUCUAGAAGAUUAUAGAUCCAUUCUGGAUAGUAAAUUUCAGUUGGGAUUGCUGAGGUUGGAUCAAUAUUCUUCCUUCCCCCUACCAUCUCAAGCAGCAGCAUUCCAAAACUAUAGACGUCCGACUUAUAGGACACAUUUCCGAAGUUCCUGGAGAACACUUCAGGUGCAAUGUAGCCCAUAGUCCCUCUAGCUAUAGUCAUGGACACUAUGCUUUGAUCCUUAGAACACAACUUGGCCAAACCAAAAUCAGAAAUUUUUGGAGUGAAAUUGUCGUCUAAUAAAACAUUAUGAGGCUUGAUGUCGAAAUGGAGGAUUCGUUGAUCACAUUCCUGAUGAAGAUAAUAAAUUCCCUUGGCUACAGCAAGAGCAAUAUCUUGCAACUUGUCCCAACCAAGAAAACGAUUGUUAUUGUCUGCCGAUGAAAUGAAAUAGUGCAGUGAACCAUUGGCGAAGAACUCAUAAACGAGAGCUCCGUUAAAUCGAUCAGCACAGAAACUAACCAAACGAACCACGUUGACAUGGUGGAUACGUCCCAUCAUUCCAACUUCCUUUAUGAAAUCUUCCCCGUUUCUGUUGGAACUAUUGAGAACUUUUACAGCGACAAAGCAUUCAGAAGAAAGCUUUCCUUUGAAAACAGUUCCAUAGGCUCCUUGGCCUAACUUGUCCUGGAAUUGGUUUGUGAUCCUCUUAAUGUCCGCGUAGGAAUACCUGCUUGGUUUGUGAGCUUUGUAAUCUUCUAAAAACUUGUCAAUCUUUAAUUGGCUCUCCUUUUCUUUUCGAUUAGAACUAUAGACACGAUAGGCUGCAACAACCAGUACUAAUACAGCAAAUGAUCCCAGGGAUGCACCUGCACAUUAAUUAAACAAAUCAUCGAGUAAAUUAUAGUAUUCCCGACAUGGUCUAAAUAGACAUGAAUUCCUUGUUGCACCUGAAAGAAAAUAAUCAGUUAGACAACUCACAUGUUGCCACUAAUUUUCUUGUUGCACCUGAAAACAAAGAAUUGAAAUUAAGUAAAUAGUUUGCAGGGCUAAUUGAGCUCAUAUUCUGGAUGGAAGAAAACAAUGAAUUUCUCAUGACUGUUUGCACGCAGUUAAUUCAAAUCCAUGUCAAAUGUGUUGCAUCUAGUUAUUUGAAAUACAAAACUCAAUAUAUGUAAGUAGAAUAUAUUUCAAUAAAUAUUUUUCUAGAUAAGUAGAAUAUAUAUGUAAAACGAAAUCAACACUAAAUAUAUAUGCAGCCUUACUGGCUUUCUUCAAGUAAACGCAUUCAAUUUCUGCGUACCCGGCGGCGUACAAUUCUACAACUGUUGCCUUCCGCUUCACAUUCUGCACAAUUUGGUUUAUCCCAUUUGAAAAGAGGAUCACCAUUCGCGCCCGCACUUGGAACCGACAAAACAUCGUACAUCUUUGUACAGGACUCGAGGGCCAGCGAGUCCCAAAGAAAAUAGUCAGAUGAAAGGGCAUACACUCUGUAGCCAGGGCCACCUAUGCAGGGAACUGGUGUGUCUAAUUCUCUUUCAACAGGACAGUGGAAUAAGGUAUAGUUUCUGGUAAAAAAGGGGAGGAAGUAGAAUUGAGAGGCUGUCAAUGGCAUGUUGAUGUUGUCAACUUCUAAAGGCUUUAGUAGCAGGCAAUUAUACGGUUUAUGGACUUGGACUUCCUGAUUUUUGUAAUCUAUGCGUUUCACCAAGAAUUUCAUCACUACCACUCGGUGCUCCUGUCCGCCGUCACCCUCAUUCGCAUGGCAAUCAGUUGGCCGACCACAGUGAUGUCUGCGGUGAAACGGGAAAUGGAUAGCCUUGCCAUGAUUGCCGCAUUCGGACUCCGUGCACGUAUACGCAUUUUGGGUUGCUCUGAGAAUUGUAAACAAAGCAAUUAAGAAUAUGCGAGGCCAAGAGAUAUCGAGCUCUUGCUGCUGCAUUUCUGAGGUUUUUCCCAUGGAUUUCUUCUAAGCAAUGGUAGGUCUAUGUAAAUAGAGAGUAUUUUUUAUUAAGUUCAGCUUCACGGAAGAUGUUCUUACAAAAACUAACAACCAAAGAUUCAAUUAAUUACACAAGAAUUACUCGGAAAGCAAGCACAACUGCAGUUUCAUCGAAGGUGCUCUUACAAAAACUAAUUAUUGUUCAACACAAAAGACUUUGUAGAGCACUUGACCAUAAAAAAGCAAUUGAUCGAUCGGGUCUCAAUCAAAGACUCAUUCACAAUUAAUUAUUGUUGUGUCCUGUCCUGUCCUCUGUGUGGUUCCAUUCACGGUUACCUCAAGGACCGCGUCUAAAAAAUGCGACUUUAUAUGGAAUUUAUGUCACCUUAUAUUUUUGCACAUUACUUUAUAAUAUUAGCACGAAAAUUAGCAUUAAAUUGUAAACGAGCAGAGAAUCUAUGAAGAGUUUCAUUUCGAGAGAGUCUCAUUAGACCAUCUCCAAAGGAGAUGUAAAAAAUGUCACUAGACAUAUAAUAGUAACAAAUGACGUACCAGUUACUCCAACCGAGAUAUCAAAGCUAAAAUGGAAAAUAUGGCUAGCUGUAGACAAAGAUAUGUCAAAUUUGAAGUUGCCUUCAAAUAUGGUUUUUGUUAUUUUCAAAGGCAUUCUUCUUGUCUCACCUUUUUUUUUUUUUAGUACAUCGAUACUUUUACACUAGGGAGAUGAGGAGUUCGGUUAAGCCACACAAUGGGCAGCCUAAUUUGGUAUCGAAUUCGUCAUCCACGAGAUUCUAAGACUUCUCACUUCUAAGUAAAGAGGAAUACCACAAAACCGUAAUACUGAAUAGCUACUUGUCUUACCUUAAAUGUUAGCAUAUUUAAAUAUUAUUUUAUUAUUUUAAACCGAUAACAACUCAACUUUCAUUAUUUUUGUUUAAAAAAACAUAAAUGAAGUAAUAAAUUUUGGCAUAUUAGGUGGAAGAAAAAUAUUAACAAUAUGUCAAAUUAUCAAGUCAACCAUCAAAUUAAAAUUUAAUAUUUUAAAUUUGACAUUUUUUUUUGAGAAAUGCUUUCUCAUUAUUUAUUGUUUUGGUAAAAUACCUAGUUCCACAGCGGAAAUUACCUUUUCUGUUGUAAAAUCGAUGGUGUGUGCAGUGGAAUAAACAAAUAAGACACAAUAUUUACGAGGUUCCUCUACAGUCAGUGUGACUGGAGUACGUCCUCGGGGCAGCAGCAAUGCUUUUAUUUAUAAUCUGAAGUAAUAAGAUUACAAAGAUAACUCCCCUCUCUCUUUUCUCCCUUUCUGCCGUGAGCCUUGUGGCUUCUCACUUCUUCCUCUCUUCUUCCUUUUAUCACCACAUUUUAAACACUUGUAAUGCUCUAUUUAUAGAGCAAACAUUUUGAAAGCAAACAAAACACUAUUAAACUUUUGAAAGGUUUACUAUAUGCAUGUGGGCAUACAUACCCACUAUUUACAACACUCCCCCUUGGAUACCCACAUAAGUCUUUAAUUAACUUGUUAAAAUCUUGAUCUGUUUUUAAUGCUCCCCUUGAUAAGUAUCUCCCCCUAAUUUCAAAUCAUUUAGGCUGAUCGUUGAUCAUUCUGUUUCAGUCUCUUAGUAAGAAGAGUUGCCGAAAGAGGUGCUUUACUUGUUGUUAACUUUCCACGGGCUUGUUCUAGAACUAGGCUGGAGGGUCUUCUACUAGACUUCCUACAAAGGUCUGAAUUUACUUCUUUUAUCUGGAGCUAAAUUUAAUUCAAGGGUGGUGGACACUUGAUCUUGAAUCAAACUUGUGAUUUCUUCAAGGACCUUCGAGACUUGAUCUUGAAUGAAGUUGUACCGUGGGGAGCUUCACAUGGCAAGUGAUCUUCGGCUUUGUCGGGGAUGAAUCAGCACAUGUUUAUUGCGCUUGUCUCCACAUACUUCAAUGUAUCAUUUUCACUUGCCUUACUUGUUCCCCUUGCUUAAGUAGUAUUUUCCCUGGUUUUCCCCAUGCAUGUGUGGCAUAUUCUCCUAUAGUAUUUGCUCUCUGAUGCAGGAGUGGAAUGCAACCCUUACAUUUGGAUGGUUCAUCACUUCUUGGUGACUGGAGACCCAACUCCAACAACAGUUGAAGAUGACUACUCGAGAGCAAUACUAGGUAAGCAAUCAGGAAAGGUUACAGGCAGUCAGUUCCUUACCGGAAGUUUGAAUGGAGGUUCCGACAUAUUGCUUUCUUUAUCCUUGUCUUUGCAGGUAAGAACAAGGACAAAGGAAAGGACAGGGAGAUUGCAUGAUAUGAGAUACUUUUGCUCUCAUCCCUGAUGAUAUGAGAUAUUCUUGCUCUGGUGUGACUUGUUUUAAAGAGGUAUUCUCGGAGAGGAAGAAAAUUGAGUAUUUCGAGAUGCUGUGUUGAAAAUGUAUUCUCGGAGAUGAGGAAGAGUUGGACAUUCUUGCAAGUCUGCCUUGUUAUGGAGAACGGAGGUCAACAUAUAUAGAGAUUUCCCCAAUAGCAGGUAGUGGUGUGGAUGUGGCUUUGUCAUCCACGCUUGUUGGCAACAUUGUUCUAGUUGGAAUAGUAAGAUUUACACGUUUUCAACUUUGUCAAAGAUCUUUGACAAAGUUGCACGCGAUAUCAAAAAAGGCUGAGAUUGCAUUUGAAAAUGCCAACGAACUUUAUUCAGGAAAAUCUGGUUUUUGAAAUUCGGAAAGUGGUGCCUCUUCGAUCUCUGAACAAGUGGCUCUGCUACCUCUUCUUUUAUAAAGACAUCAAUUGUGUUCAAGAGUAUAAAGUUGCUGCCUGUAGAAAUUUUCCCCUUCUUGCACUUCUGAAAUUUUAUUUGACCUCAUUUUUCCUUCAUCAUUUCUGAAAAUGACUUGCCCAUCUAACAUUUGCUUAGAUUUGAGUCUUAGGAGUGAUACGGACGAGCAUCGUCAAGAUAAUAUAUGGCGUCCGUCCUUCUUAUCUUCUAAUGGUCCUCUUAUAAUUGGGGACUCUGUGGUGAAAAAUAGCAUAACCGUUAUUGUGGUAGCUAGGAAUCUUCUCACUCCAAAGGAUAACAGAAUCCUUUUAAAACGGUCUAAUGAGUUGGCCGUUCAAGACUCCUUGGCUCUCAGUGUUCAGUGUGCUGGCUUUGUUUCCAAUAUGGGGCAACGCCUACUUGCUCAAACUCACCAAGUUGAAUCAUUGAUGGCUGAGGUGGCAAGUCUUAAACAAGAGAUCUGAGGGCUCAAGCAUGAGAAUAGAGUGUUACACGUGCUUGCAAAUAAUUACUCGACGAACAUGAAAAGAAAGCUAGACUAGCUGCAAGAAUCCGAAAGUCGGAUUCAAAGUGAUCACCAGAGGUUCGUUGCUAGAUUCUAAAAGCAACUGAUGCAUUCCCCUUCUGGUGUUUUGCCAAGUACUGGGGUGCCACAUGAUCAAUCUCUAAUGCCUUCUCCUUCUAGGGUACUUUCGAGUAUUGAGGCUUCACAUAAGCAACCUUUGUGAAUGCUUCAUCCUGGUUGUUUGUUUUAACUCAUGUGUAUGUAUAUAUCUGUAAUUUCUCGGAGAUAUUAAUAGAUAAGCUUUAUUUCAUUCAGUGUAUUGUGCUAAAUACAAUAAAGCAUAUACUUCACCAAGAUGUGGUACUUCUGGACCAAAUAUCAAUUUAUCUUUACCCUCACGAAGAUAAAUGAUCUUUCUUAGUGUCUACAUCAUUUGAGUAUUCAACUCAUAAUCUUCAAUCCAUGGUUCUUUUAAUAUUAUAAACAUCAUGGAUAAGAUUCGUGUUGGUAAAUUGUUCGAUCUGCAGUCCGAGACAAUAUUUCUCUCAACACUUUAUAAUCUUUCUUGACUCUUUAGGAGUCUCAAUUUAAUAUCAUCAACUCUUCAGGAAUUCUAAUUUAAUGUCAUUAACUUUUGCAAGAGAUUUUAGUAUGUUGCAACAAUAUCAUAAUGAUAGUACUCACUAAGGAAAUUUAUAUCAUCCAUUAGUAUUGAGUACAUAAUUCAUGUUUUACCCUUCCGGGGCUUACUUCAAGCAAUUUGAAUCAUUCAAGGAUUUUCUACACUUCAUGACAUAUUUUUCUUUGGAAUUUGUACAAAGCAACUUGCUCCCAUGUAUAAUUGGGGGAUUUACUUAUAGAGAUAUGAUGUGGCUGACUCACAACCCUUCGUAUAUAAUUCUCCAUUCAUAUGAACUUGUUUACAAGAGUAUAAUUUCAGAUUUCAAUUAGUAACCUUGUGUCAUAUCAUAUGAGUGUAUUUCACUGUAUUACAAAUGCCCAAUGUAACCUCCUUAGUUCAACAUCUUUUAGCUAUUUGUAUUUCAAGUAUAUAGGUCCAUUUUUCCACGUUCUUACAAAAUUGUAAUGGAAUUGCCUUUCUCCAUUUUGGCCAAUAAUUUUGUUGACGAAAAAGAAUGAGACUCAAUAUCAACACAACUCAUUGAUGAAUUUAGUAGCUACUUGUAAAAACCAAAAUUACCAUUGGUUAUCAUCAAUCCGUGAUCCCAUAUUCUCAUGUGCAUGCGCAUGCAUAAAAACUUUUUAUUUCUUUUUGGAUAUCCAUUGCCUCUUCAAGGGCACAUAACCUCUUCUUGAGCGUUAUAGAGCUUGGAUUUUAAUCUUCACUUUUGGGAGUUGAGUCAUUGGAACCUAUAUGUCUAUCAUACUCCAUGCAUGAGACAUCAACAUUCCUAUGUCCGCGGAUUGUCCUUUCUAGGAUGUAUAUCCAUGCGGCGAUUGUCAUACUUCUAACAUGUAACAGUUAUGUUUCGGGAAUGCAAUAAUUCAGUAAUGCCAUAUUCUUCUUCUUUCGAAUGAAUGAACCUUUUGAGUCUAAGGGUCUGCCACGCUUCAGGCGUGCAACAGAUAAAUCAUUUACUGCACCAUAAUUUUGUCCAACAGGGACAUUAAUUCUUGUAGGCACAUUUGUAGCAAGUAUAUGUGAUUUCAUCACUUUCGUUGCAUCAUUAAGUUGUUCUUACUUUAUUUUCUCAUUGAUUGCUUUGUGAAUCAAAAUAAGACAAAGUCUCUUUGUUCUUCUGGAAUGAUUUUUUCUCAUCAUUCUUCUGGAAUGAUAUUUUCUCAUCGUUCUUUUGGAAUGAUGUUAUUUUCUCCCCAUAAUGGCGGGAAAACUGUCUUAUCAAAAUCAUAGUCUGCAAAUAAUGUGGUAAAUAUAUCCCCAGUCAAGGGUUCCAAAUGUUGAAUGAUAAAUGAUGUUCAACAUCAAUGCCUAAUCGGCGAUGAUGCCUCAUUUCAAUACAUUAUGGCAAUGCAAUAGGCACAUAGAUAACACAAUAAAAAACUCGUAAAUGUGUAAUAUUUGGCUGGUGCUUAAACACGAGUUGUACUGAGAGAUAUCGAUGGUUGGUAACUGGUCUCAACCAAACUUAAUAGUGAAUUAUGUAAAAUGGCAUGUCCACAUGUAGAAAAACUUGCAAUUUCGUUUUCAUGAGCAGAGCACGGGUAAUCAAUUUCAUCCGAUUAAUAAAUGCUUCUGCUAAAUCAUUUUGAGUAUGAACAUGAGGAACAUUGUGUUCAACAUCAAUGCCCAAUGACAUGCAAUAAUCAUCAAAAUUUCGAGAUGUAAACUCUCCAGCGAAUAUACAUUAUAUCAUCAUUUACAUACAUCAAGGAACUUCUGGUCCUUAUUUAAUAGCCUAUGGAUUGAGAUUCUCAUGGCCUUUAUUACAAUUAAGUUGAGGCACUGCAACAUUUCAAACUUAAGGUACUUAUCAAGAAACUUCAUGUCCGAUCUUGAGGAUCUAGUGACUUCAUGCCUGAUCUUUUUACAUGAUGGAACUUCGGGUCCAAUCAUUUUAUGUGAUGAGGAUCAAGAAACUUCAGGUUCUGAUUUGAUCAAGGAACUUGAUUUGAUCAAGGAACUUCAGGUCCAGUAUGUACUCAUCGUAACAAAAAUAAGUACAAUAAAUAAAUUAAAGCAAUAGGCGGUAAUUCUGGCCAUGGUAAAUAAAUUGUUUUUAAGUAAAUAAAGUUUGUGACAAGGGCUUUGAUUUAGCACCAUUUACAUAAAUAUCAAAGCCUUAAAGAAAAGGAUAAUAAUUUUACCCAAUGUAAAUAAAUUGCUUUAAAUAAAUAGAACUUGUGAAAUGAUUUUAAGCCAACACUAUUUACAUAAAUAAAUAAUAUAAGAACCUUUUAUUUUGCCACUUCCUUUUGUCCCUUUUUGUUAAUUAAUUUUUUUUUUCUUUCUGUCGGCACCAAGCUUCAAAACUUUUUCUUUUCUCACAUGCUGCACAAUUCCAAAAAAACAACUUUGCCUUUUGUUUUCUUUCACAUGGUGCAACAUACCUUUUCAAGGCUUUGGCCCCAUUUCCCUUUUUAUUUUUGUUUUCACAAUUCUGAAGUCAUUUUGGUUACCCAGGAAAUAAUAGUAACAAUAAGUACCAAUUGGUGUUCCUCCUCCGUGAGUUUCGAAAAAGUCGAAACGGUUCCCAUAAGUUUUGGAGUCAAGAGUGUCUACAACUUAUGAGAAGAUCACCGUUAGAUUUAGCUCAAACUUUAGUAUGAUAUGGAUAAGAGGAUAUUGAACAACGUUUGUGAAGAAACAAUUUCAAUCUGAGCUACCGAAAUGGAGUUUUGGUACUCAUAAGGUGGCUGUCCAGUUUUCUGCUGAAAUUAGAAACUGGUUUGGUAUUUCAGAUAUCUGCGACGAUCGCACAGUUAAAAUUUUCUGAAAUUUUGAUAUGUUGUAAAUACUGAGCAGACGAACAACUUUCAAGAAGAAAGUAUUUCAAUCCGAGGUCCGCAAGUUGGAGUUCUGAGGCUAUUUAUAUGGCUGUCAAAUUCUUUACAAAUUUUGAGUCUGUACUCUUUUGCUUCUUCAAGGGAUGAUAUACAGUCAUACAACAAUAUAUAUAGUUGCUUCAAGAAAAUCAAUUGUAUUGAGAUUUAAAGAUGAAAUGAAAAGAUUUUCUUAUCUGCGAGAUUCCAUUUCCAGCUGAAGGAGGUGAACAGGAUUUGUGGCGCUGUGCUUUCCACUGACAUGAGAGCUUCUCAUGCUGAUAACGUGUUGUAAAAUCGACGGUGUGUGUAGUGGAAUAAACAAAUAAGACACAAAAUUUACAAGAUUUCUCUACAGUCAGUGUGAAUGGAGUACGUCUUCGGGGCAGCAGCAAUGCUUUUAUUUAUAAUUUGAAGUAAUAAGAUUACAAAGAUAACUCUCCUCUCUCUUUUCUCCCUCUCUGCCAUGAGCCUUGUGGCUUAUUACUUCUUCCUCUCUCUUCCUUUUAUCACCACAUUUUGAACACUUGUAAUGCUUUAUUUAUAAAGCAAAUAUUUUGAAAAGCAAACAAAACACUAUUAAACUUGUGAAAGGUUUACUAUAUGCAUGUAGGCAUACAUACCCACUAUUUACAACAUUUUUUUUUCUUUUGUUAAGCAAACAGGGAAACCUUAACUUUUUAUGUUGUAGAGUCAUUCCUCCGCCUGUAACUUUCAAUCUCAUGCAUGUGUAAAAUCCGGAUCCUUUUCCUAGGAUUCUAGAGAUUUCAUGAUCGUAACCGUUCAUCGUACAUUAUGUGGUUAGAAAUCAUUUCAAAAUUUAAAAAUUUUAAAUUAAAUAUAAAUAGUACCUAACGAAAAUUGACCAUACUAUAUACGAUGAACGGUCACGAUCAAGGGAUCCCUAUGAUCUCUAGGAAAAUGAUCUGACAAGAAUCCUUUUCCGUAAAAUCAUAUCUUUUGUGUUUAUAUAUAUAUUUAUAUAUUAUUUGUAUUGCUGCGUACUUUCUGUGUUAAACCUCGCUGAUAUUUUUCUCCACUGGAAUGAGUGGAAGGUCCUCCUCCUUUUCCUCCCUAUGACUAACAACCAAAGACUCAAUUAAUUACACAAGAACUGCUUGGAAAGCAAGCACAACUGCAGUUUCAUCGAAGGUGCUCUUACAAAAACCAUGUUAUGUAGUUAAACACAAAAGUCUUUGUAGCCCACUUGACCAUAAAAUGCAAUUGAUCGAUCGGGUCAAAUCAACAAUCAAUUAUUGCAUUGUCCUGUCCUGUGUGUUUGAUUCCAUUAAAUCAGAAAUUAUAUCGUUUGUGGUUUACCCCAAUCACGGAAGCCCACAAAGAACGACUUAUUGACUUACAUUAUUUAUAAUUAUGGAAAAUACUAAAAAACCUAUUUUAAAAGUAGAAUUCUCUAUAGACAUUAUGUUAUUUAUAUAUUUUUUGCAUAAUAUUUUAUAAUAUUGGUACGAUAAUUGACGUUAAACUAUAAGGUGGUAGAUGCGAGAUUUUUCAGUAUGACCGUCACACGAGGUGGUACACCACGUGUCAUUAUAUAAAUGAUGAGAUAUGUGUCUUAAAAAGUUAAUAACUUAAAAAAAAAAAUAUUUUUACCACUUACGUAAAAACACGUAAUGUACCACCCGUAUUCCCGUCACAACUCAAAAUUUCUACUGGUAGAGAGUUCCACUUUGAGAGUCUCUUUAGCAUUUCUCAUAAUUUAUUGUUUAGGUAAUGCUAGGGAAACUAAAUAUGGAGACAAAAAUUUGGAGAUUAAAUGAUGUAUCACCAAUAAGAAUGAAUACGUUUAACAACGCUUAAAUAAUAAACUAAUCAUUAACUAGUAUGUCCUUUAUUUUCCAAACUUUUAUCUACAAAUUUAUUCUCAUUUAACAUUAUCUUUAUUGUUUUGGUCAAUACCUAGUUCUACAGCGGAAAAUACCCCUUUUUUUUUUCUUUUGUUAAGCAAACGGAGAAACCUUAACUCUUUCAUUUGUAAAAUCAUUCCUCUUUACCUGCCCCUUUCAAUCUCAUACAUGUGUGAAAUCUUUUAUUUUCUGUUUAUAUAUAAAUUAUUUGUAUAGCACACCUGUUUCAAACCUCGCUGAUAUUUUUCUCCAUGGGAAUGAGUGGAAGGUCCUCCUCCUCCUCCUCUAUGCGGAUUUUAAUUGCGGCUUUUAUUGUUAUUAGCUUAUCCCCUAAAACCAUUUGUAACGCCGCCCAGCAAACGUGUACCCCUUCUUCCUGCGGCCAUAUCCGCAAUAUAAGCUACCCUUUUCGACUAAAAGGUGAUCCGCGCCACUGCGGCGAUUCACGCUUCACCCUUUCUUGCGAGAACAAUAUUACCAUACUAAGCAUAAGUUUAUCUGGCGAGUACUAUGUACGGGCAAUCAACUACCAUAAUCAAACAAUCCGAGUCGUUGAUCCGGGCAUUGACAAGAGCAAUUGCUCCUCCCUUCCUCGUCAUUCUUUGGGUUAUUCUAUGUUUACCGAUCCGUAUGAUAUAUACAACCCCGACGUCGAAAAUUGUACUGGUUAUGAAGCAGAUGCGAAAAACAAAAGAUUUACGGAUGCAUCAUCAUCGCCACCAAUCUGCUCAAGAACAAUAGCUUUAACGUUUUUGAAGUGCGGGAGUCCAGUGAAUUCAUCUCAAUCUCUGUCCGUGGUCGACACUGCUCUAUGUUAUCCUGUUGAAUCUACUUCGACUUCUUCUUUGUCAUGGUCGUCGUCCGCAUCCCCCCAACCAAAAACUUAUGGCUAUGUCGUGAUUGGACCGUUUCGUGUAUGGGAGUUGAAUGAAGGUUGCAGCAUAGAGCGAGUGACUUUCGCCUACUUGUCCGACGACUACGACGCUUCUUAUAAAUCCAUACACAAUUCUCUGGUAUAUGGCUUUGAGCUUAACUAUACGGUCUAUUCCUCUCGUGACUCCCAUUGCGGAGGAGCCCAGUGGAGAUACAGUGUUAGAUGGAACAAUGUUCAAUGUUAUCCUCACAGCGUUGGAGGUGAGUAGUGAAUAAAUCUCAAUUUUAAUUUUUCAUUCAUUUAUCAUCUCUUGUACCUAAACAAGUAAUAUAGAAGCUUAUUUAUAUAAAUGAUCGCAGAGGCAAUGGUCAUCCUUUGUCUCUCUUAUGAAAUCUGUUAGACCAACAAGUUUGAGAUUUUAAUUUAAAAAUCAACACGUGUGCCCACUAAUGUUGUAUUUUUCUUCUUUUUGCUCUGUCACUGUAGGUUUGUUUCGACUUCUAUGGGCUGGGAUUCAAGUUUCAAGGUAAGAGAUCUAUAUAUGAGUGCUUAUAUGACAUUUGAUAGAUAAAAUUUAACUUUAGAGGACAUACAAAAUUAACAUGUUUGUUAAUCCUCUCUAAUAAUAGUGUAAUAAUAGUGUGUCCUAUCAUUUCAUGUGAGUCUCAUCUGUAUUAAAGUGUGUAAGCAAAUAUAUCAAUUUUGUUGUGAAUUAAGAAUUAAUUUGUAUGUUAGAUUAAUGGUUUAAUUCCAUAAUUUCUAGGUCACUCUAUCGAAAAAAUAAUAAAUUUUACCGGAUUACCAUAGAAAAUUAUAUGAUAUCAGUGCAUGUCCCUGCAUCCUAGAUUGAUUCUUGCAUAGAUGGGGCUAGUGAGUUAUGAUCGUGUAGGAUGAAAAUUUGUUUCAAGACGCAUAUAGUUCAUUUUUUUAUACUUUCUUCACCCACACAACUGUGUACAAAGCAGAGAAGUGAAUAACUGGAUACAAUAAAGUAUUGCCUUAUAUACCUUAUUGUUUGUCUAAGUUAUAACACACAGAAACAAAAUCUCCAUCCCUUUUGUAAAUAAAGCUUUCAUGUCCACCCACCAACGCUAUUUACACCUACUUUUUAAUUAAAAUUACAUAUUUAACCUGUGUAAAAUGACUUUUGUGACCCCAAUAAAAAUUAAUUUUAUUUUGUAUUUUGUAGCUAAAAGAAUAAAUGAAACUAAACAACAACAACAACAACAAAGCCUUUUCCCACUAAGUGGGGUCGGCUAUAUAAAUCCUAGAACGCCAUUGCGCUCAGUUUUGUGUCAUGUCCUCCGUUAGAUCCAAGUACUCUUAAGUCUUUUUCUAGGGUCUCUUUCAAAGUUUUCCUAGGUCUUCCUCUACCCCUUCGGCCCUGAACCUCUAUCCCGUAGUCACAUCUUCGAACCGGAGCGUCAGUAUGCCUUCUUUGCACAUGUCCAAACUCAUUUUGUGUACGUGUUGAUGCUUCACCACCCAACAUUCUGUGCCAUACAGCAUCGCCAGCCUUAUUGCCGUCCUAUAAAAUUUUCCCUUGAGCUUCAGUGGCCUACGACGGUUACACAACACGCCGGAUGCACUCUUCCACUUCAUCCAUCCAGCUUGUAUUCUAUGGUUGAGAUAUCCACCUAAUUCUCUGUUCUUUUGCAAGAUAGAUCCUAGGUAGUGAAAACGGUCGCUCUUUGGUAUCACCUGAUCUCCGAUCCUCGCCCUUAACUCAUUUUGGUCUCCAUUUGCACUGAACUUGCACUCCAUAUAUUAUGUCUUUGAUCGGCUUAGGCGAAGACCUUUAGAUUCCACCACUUCUCUCCAAAGGUUAAGCUUCGCAGUUACCCCUCCUGAGUUUCAUCUAUCAACCCUAUAUCAUUUGCAAUUAAGGAUUGUUGAUGCACAAAAUCAGUGAGGACUUCGGUACAACAACAAGUAUUAAGUUAUUGCUCUGGUCAUUAGAGUGGAUAAGUAUGUAAAUGGAUAGAGACAGGAAAGCAAACAUAAGAUGAACGUGGUUCACCCAGAUUGGCUACGUCCACGGAGUAGAUGAGUUCGCAUUAAUUGUGAAGGGUUUACACAAGUACAUAGGUUCAAGCUCUCCUUUAGUGGGUACAAAUGAAUGAUUUAGUACAAAUGACAUUAGGAAAUAUUGUGGGAGAAUGAUCUCGUAAUCACGAAACUUCUAAGUAUUGAAGUGUGGUAUCGUCUUCACUUGCCUUAUCUGUCUCAUAGGUAGAUGUGACAUUUUCUUUGGAAGUACUCUUCCUCCAUCCAGGGGCGGUAGCUUUAACUGGUGGAGAUGCACAAGGUAAUGUAUCAAUUUCACUUGAAGCUUACUUGUAGUGUCAGGCUUGGUCAAGCGCGAUACAAACCAUGUAGUAGGAGUCCCCCAAGUCGCCGAGCUAGGGGAUCUGCUGAAAGAUGUGACAGACAAGGUAAGCAAUCAGAGCUCUAAGUAAUCAGUCCCAGAUCAGAAGUUUGAUUUCGAGUUCCGGCUGAUUGUUCUCAUUCUCCCUAUCUUGCAGGCAGCAUGAAGGAUAAAGAGAAGAAAAGGAGAAUAGAUGAUAUGAGAUACUUUUGCUUUUGAAGAAGUAACUUUCCACAGGCUUAUUCUUGAACUGGGCUGGAGGGUUUUCUGGUUUCCUCCAGAGUAUAAAGCCGACUGAAGAAUUUGAGGGUCAAAACAAGUCCAUCAAAUCUAGAGUACGUUCGACCCUGCUGAUAUGGGAUACUUUUGCUGUUGACAAAGUAGUGGAUGUAUCGGCACGUGUUUUGUUACGCUUGUCUCCACAUGCUUGUAUCCUUCUCACUUUCCCUAUCGGCUCCUCAGGCAGAUGUGGUAUCUUCUCUGGAAGCAUAAGAUGUUGAAGAUGAGUACUCGAGAGCAAUGCCAGGUAAGUAAUCAGGUAAGGGGUUCCAGGCAGUCAGUUCCUGACUGGAAGCUUGAUUCCAAGUGCUGACUGAUUGCUCUCUUUCUCCUUGUCUUGCAGGUAAGAACAAGGCCAAAGGAAAAGACAGGGAAAAAGCAUGAUAUGGGAUACUCUUGCUUUUAACCCUGAUGAUAUGAGAUAUUCUUGCUCUGGUGUAGCUUGUUUGCAGAGGUAUUAUCGGGGGGAAAGAAAGCUGAGUAUUUCGAGAGGCUUCGUUGGGAGUGCCCUCUCAGAUAUGAGGAAGGGUUGAGCAUUUUUGCAGGUCUGCUUGUCCGUUGAGGAUGGAGGUCGACAUAUAUAGGAGUCUCCCUAACAAGAAGUAGUAAUGCUAUUCCUUUACCCUGCUUAGUCAUAGCACGGUAGUGGGAGCUGCCAGCUUCACGUGUGUCAGAGCACUUUGAAAAAGUGGUAUGUGGUAUCUGGAAAGCUAAUGUUGCGUGUGAAGAUUACAGACAGGUUUUAUCCAAGGAGAUCUAGCUCUCGAAGUUGAGAAAGUGAUGCUUCUUCGGUUUUCGAACAAGCAAUCAUGUCGGGGAUCUAUCUCUCGAGAUUCGGAGAACGGUGCCUCUUCGAUUUUUGAGAGAGCACUCCUGCUGGGAGUCUGGCUCUCGAGAUUCAGAGAGUGGUGUCUCUUCGAUUUUUGAGAAAGUAAUCAUGCUGGGAGUUUCGGAGGACGGUGCCUCUUCGAUUUUGGAGCAAGCAAUCUUGUUUGGAGUGUUUUCUCAAAUGUGAGUAAAGGUAGGGCAUGUUUGCUAGUCUACCUUGCCAUGGAGCACAUAGGUUGACACACAGGGACUUUCCAAUUAUCCAGCCGUGGUGCUGUUCCUUUACCCUUGUAGGUAAUAAUAUGAUAGCUAAACCUUCAAAAUUUCUGUGUCUAAAACUUUAUUGGUGUUGUUUCUUUGCUAUUCUUUUACCCUUCUUGGUCAUAGCGAUGUAGUGGGAGCUGCAAGCUUCACGUGUCUAAACUUUGUUAGAGAUCUUUGGCAAAGUUAUCUGUGGUACCCAUGAGCUGAUGGUGCGUGUGAAAAAUGGAUGAUUGAAUAGUAAGAUUCACGUGCUUUCUACUUCACCAGAAUGCCCGUAAUUUCAGCAAAGCUGAGUGUGCAUGUGACAGAUGCUGACAAGCCUGAAAAAAAGCAGGUGCCUCUUCAAUUUCGGAGAUCGGCCCUCGUGGUCUCUGAGCAGCCCAGCUUUUGAGAAAGCAAAUGCCUCUUCGAUUUCUGAGAUCGGCCCUCGUGGUCUCUGAGCAGCCCAACUUUUGAGAAAGCAAACGCCUAUUCGAUUUUUGGGCAGACGCCUCUUCGAUUUCUGAAGCUCCGUCGAGUGCAGAUUUUUAUAGAGGCUGGCAUUAAGUUUCAAAGCACACUUGAAUCUUCACCAGUAGAAGCUCCCUUCUUGCACUUCUAAGAUCUUGAUUUGUCCGACCUCUUCUCUCUUCAACACCUUUGAAAAUGUCUGGCCCCUCCGACCGUCGUUUUGACUUGAACCUUGUUGAAGAGGCAGCCACGCCUUCUCCAGACAACAUAUGGCGCCCAUCCUUCUUAUCCCCUACUAGUCCUCUUACCGUUGGGGAUUCCGUGAUGAAGAAUGAUAUGACUGCUACGGUGGUGGCCAGGAACCUUCUCACUCCCAAAGAUAACAGACUAUUUUCCAAACGGUCUGAUGAAUUGGCUGUUAAGGAUUCUCUGGCUCUAAGUGUUCAGUGUGCUGGUUCUGUGUCUAAUAUGGCCCAACGCCUAUUUGCUCGAACUCGCCAAGUUGAAUCAUUGGCGGCUGAAGUGAUGAGUCUCAAACAGGAGAUUAGAGGGCUCAAGCAUGAGAAUAAACAGUUGCACCGGCUCGCACAUAACUAUGCUACAAACAUGAAGAGGAAGCUUGACCAGAUGAAGGAAUCUGAUGGUCAAGUUUUACUUGAUCAUCAACGGUUUGUGGGUUUGUUCCAAAGGCAUUUAUUGCCUUCGUCUUCUGGGGCUGUACCGCAUAAUGAAGCUCCAAAUGAUCAACCUCUGAUGCCUCAUCCUUCUAGGGUUCUGUCCAGUACUGAGGCUCCGAAUGAUUCCCCUCCGGUGCCUUCUCUUUCUGGGACUCUACCGACUGCUGAGACUUCUCCUAAGCAACCUUUGUGAAGGCUCCCUCUUAUUUGUUUAUUUUGACUCAUGUAUAUGUACAUAUUUGUAACUUAUCGGAGAUAUCAAUAAAUAAGCUUUGCUUCAUUUCCAACGUAUUGUGUUAAAGACACCAAAGCCUUCUUCACUGAGUGGGGUCGGCUAUAUGAAUCUUAGAACGCCAUUGUGCUCGGUCCUGUGUCAUGUCCUCCGUUAGAUCCAAAUACUCUAAGUCUUUUCUUAGAGUCUCUUCCAAAGUUUUCCUAGGUCUUCCUCUACCCCUUCGGCCCUGAACCUUUGUCUCGUAGUCGCAUCUUCUAACCGGAGCGUCAGUAGGCCUUCUUUGCACAUGUCCAAACCACCGUAACCGAUUUUCUCUCAACUUUCCUACAAAUUUCAGCUACUCCUCCUACUUUACCUCGGAUAUCCUCAUUCCUAAUCUUAUCUUAUCUUUUCUCGUGUGCCCACACACCAUCCAACGAAGCAUCCUCAUCUCCGCUACACUCAUUUUAUGUACGUGUUGAUGCUUCACCACCCAACAUUCUGUGUCCAUACAACAACAUCACCGCCUUAUUGUCGUCCUAUAAAAAUUUUCCCUUAAGCUUCAGUGGCAUACGGCGGUCACACACCAGACCGGAUGCACUCUUCUCCACUUCAUCCAUCCAGCUUGUAUUCUAUUGGUUGAGAUCUAUCUUUCUCCGUUCUUUUGCAAGAUAGAUCCUAAGUAGCGAAAACGAUCGCUCUUUGGUAUUUCCUGAUCUCCGAUCUCACCCUAUUGGCAUUCUCCUCCAUUUGCACUGUCCAUUACUUGCCAUCCUUUAUAUUCUGUCUUUGAUCGGCUUAGGCGAAGACCUUUAGAUUCCAACACUUCUCUCCAAAGGUUAAGCUUCGCAUUUACUCCUUCCUGAGUUUCAUCUAUCAGCACUAUAUCGUCUGCGAAAAGCAUACACCAAGGAAUAUCAUCUUGAAUACGUCAUGUUAACUCAUCCAUUACCAACGCAAAAAGGUAAGGACUUAAGGAUGAGCCUUGAUGUAAUCCUACAAUUAUGGGGAAGCUUUCGGUUUGUCCUUCAUAAGUUCUUACGGCAGUUUUUGCUCCUUCAUACAUAUCCUUUAUAGCUUGGAUAUAUGAUACUCGUACUCCUUUCUUCUCUAAAAUCCUCCAAAGAAUGUCUCUUGGGACCCUAUGAUACGCUUUUUCCAAAUCUAUAAAGACUAUAUGUAAAUCCUUUUUCCCAUAUCUAUAUCUUUCCAUCAAUCUUCGUAAGAGAUAGAUUGCCUCCAUGGUUGAGCGCCCUGGCAUGAACUCGAAUUGGUUGUCCGAAACCCGUGUCUCUGGCCUCAAUCUAUGCUCAAUGACUCCCUCCCAGCGCUUCAUUGUAUGACUCAUUAGCUUAAUACCCCUAUAGUUCAUGCAGUUUUGUACGUCGCCCUUAUUCUUGUAGAUAGGCACCAAAGUGCUCUUUCGCCACUCAUUUGGCAUCUUCUUCGUUUUCAAAAUCCUAUUGAAAAGGUCAGUGAGCCAUGCUAUACAUGUCUCUCCCAAGACUUUCCACACUUCGAUCGGUAUAUCGUCUAGGCCCACUGCUUUUCAAUGCUUCAUUUUCUUUAAAGCUACAACCACUUCUUCCUUCCUGAUUCGACGAUAAAAGGAGUAGUUUCUACACUCUUUUGUGUUACUCAACUCCCCUAAAGAAAUACUCCUUUCAUGUCCUUCAUUGAAAAGAUUAUGAAAAUAACAUCUCCAUCUGUCUUUGACCGCGUUCUCUGUAGCAAGAACAUUUCCAUCCUCAUCCUUGAUGCACCUCACUUGGUUUAGGUCCCUUGUCUUCUUUUCCCUUGCUCUAGAUAGUUUAUAGAUAUCCAACUCUCCUUCUUUGGUAUCUAGUCGCUUAUACAUAUCGUCAUAAGCCGCUAACUUAGCUUCUCUCACAGCUUUCUUCGCCUCUUGCUUCGCUCUUCUAUACCUUUCACCAUUUUCAUCAGUCUUGUCCUUGUAUAGGGCUUUACAACACUCCUUCUUAGCCUUCACCUUUGUUUGUACCUCCUCAUUCCACCACCAAGAUUCCUUUUGGUAUGGAGCAAAGCCCUUGGACUCUCCUAAUACCGCUUUUGCUACUUUUCGUAUACAACUAGCCAUGGAAUCCCACCUUUGGCUAGCUUCCCCUUCUCUAUCCCACCCACAUUGGGUGAUUACUUUCUCUUUGAAAAUGGCUUGUUUUCUCCUUUUAGAUUCCACCAUCUAAAUGAAACUAAAAUUUUAAAAAAAAAUCCAAAGUGAAUAGAAAAAAAUUCCAAAGCAACGAUCUCUACCAACUCUUGCUGCCGCUAUUCGAUGUAGAGCACCUCCACCCAUCUUAUUUUGUCAUGGCAAGGUGCCAAAACCACUCCAAAACACACAUAUUAUGAGCCUUGGUAAUUGGUUGUCAUUUCUUGGGCCAUGACAGUUCUAGCCCAAGCCAAGCCAUGGCAGGAUGACGUCAUGUUGCAUUGAGUCAAGUCAAAAAGCUGGAAAUACAACGAUCUUUGCCACAUCGCACCUUUUUUGCCCUUCAGUUCAAAUAGUACUUAAAUUCAACAAUCUCGAAUCUUUCAUAAAUUAAAAAAAGAAAAUCAUUUAAAAUUUUAAUUAUAUAUUUCAAAUAAAAAAUUUCCAUUUUUUCACUAAAAAUAAAAUAUGAACACAUGGUGCAGCUAUAGAGAAGAAACAAUCCAGUUAAGCAAUUGAUAUGUCAAGAACGACCUAACAGAAGCUUUCAUUAAGCGCCUUCAAAUGAUUGUUUGAUCGUUGGUCAUACGUACCAGCUUUUGAUCACUGCUUAGGGCCAUGCAAUAUUGCACGUAGCAAUGUUGGUCUGCCUAAGGCCCGACGCGAUCCAACCAUAUAGCACAUUUCAGUUCGUUACCGGAUAAGAACCCAGCAUAUCACAUCUGCGCGUUUUUAGUUGUGCAUUCUAUAUGCCAAUUGCGCUGCCCUUACGUACUAAAUGGGUCCUCAAAGAAAGAUAGGAACCUAUGUCGGUUAUGAUUCUCUUUUUAUUAUUUGUUACUUAAAACCUUUGACAGGCGAUCUCCUUACCACUCGUUUUGCAGAUUGUUACUUCUGCGAGACAGUCUUUCCGUCGUUAGGGGGAGAUAAGAAUGUCAAUGUUCCUGAAUAACGACGUGAAUUAUUGUGGACGACUCCCACUUUGUCUCAUUUAGAGCCAUGCACCGCCCUGUCUGAGAUUGAAAUGCGAUGCAUUCUAGAUCUUCAGAACGUAGCUUAGGGCAUACCAGAUGCUUUCACUGAUCUAGCGAAAGUGACGAGAUCAUAUAUACCAUCUGCAAACGUGCCUGCAAAGAUGGAUGUACCAAAUGUAUGACGGGUUUCCCUCUUGGAAGGCCGGGACGCCCCCGUGGCUGACCCACGUACAUUGGCAGCUAACCAAUCAUCUACUCCUACCCACAAGUGUGACAGACCUCUUGGUUCAAAGGAUUCACAAAUCCAGAAGAGGAAAUCCACGACACAUGCUGUUGAGCCUACCGUGAAUCUAACUAUCGCCUAAUCAUUCUAUCCAACGCAUGAGGAAAUUAUAGAUUAUGGAAGCAUCAUGGAAGACACGAAUCCACCUGCAAAGAAUUGAAAGAUUUCGAUCCAUUAUACUAGCUUGGAUGAUGUUUGGUAUAGAAAUGAGAUGAUAAUUGACGAUGCAUUAGCAUAUGUAGUAGCUACUGAGAUCAUGUUAAGCGAUGACAUUAAACCUUGUUUUGUUGAUGAAUGUCGAUGUAGAACUGAUUGGUCCAACUGGAAAUAAGCAAUUGAAGUCAAACUUGAUUCUCUUGCGAAACACGAGGUGUUUGGGCCUGUAGUUCCUACACCGCAACAUGUGAUGAUAAUCAAGAUUGUUUGAUUAAAGCAAAUCAGUCACGAAUCAAGACAAACUCAAGCCUUGGUUCUUUCAUCAAUUAAAGUUAUUUGGCACACGAAUCAAGUCCAAAUCAAGUCUUGUUUCUUUUGUCAAUCAAAAUAAUUUGGUCAAAUUAAUUGAUUUGGUUCAAAUCAAGUCUCGACGUGGAGAAGCCUAUAAAUACGAGGCUCGAAGACAAAGCAAAGAUGGCAAAGACACACCGGGUCCAAACGGUUCCAAAAAAAAAAAAAAAGCGUGGAGACAAUUUUGACAGCAUCAAACUAGUGGAUGCAAACCACUUAAAGUCAGUGGAGAACCACAUAAUAUUAGUAUAUGCAAACCACUUAAAAUUAAUGGGUCGAAUUCCCGUUAAUUACUAUACUAGUCAAAAUGGCACAAAGCCGUUCCAAAUCCCAUGUGGCACAAAGCCGCAUCCAAGUUCGCAAUUUGGAACUAUGUUGGUUUGAUACCACAAAGGGUGUGUAGGCAAUCUAGUAUUAAAUUCUAGACACACCACAACGAAACCCCAAUCUAAGCAGAUAAACGCUCUUGUGUUCUUCAACAAGCUCGCAGAGAAUCAACAAGUGCAACAAAAUCAUGCCAAUUCAUCCACCACCAAAGCCUAAGAUCAAACAUUGACAACCCUUGAAGUAAUCACAAUCUUAAUACAGGAUCAAGUGUUCACCACUCUUAAAUUGAAUUCUACUUUGGAGUUUGAAUCAAAGGAUUAUUCUUCUAAAAGAAUAGCUACGUAGAGAUUGUAACCCUAAGCACUCAUUAAUACAAAUCCAUUAUUUGUAAUGUGUGCUUUUGUUAUUUGUCAUUUUGUGUUUACAAUUUGGCAUACCUGGUGGGACUAUCUCUGCCUCUCAUCUCUUUCUCCAAGUGAGUCAACUCCAAUCCAAGCAAUGACGUUGAAGAAGGCUCAAGUUACAUCCAUGAAUCUAGGUAAGAAUGUGAUUGGUUUCAUAACAAGGUGCGACCUUGUAGGCAUCGUCUCACAAAGCAAGACGAGGGCAUCCCUCUCAACCCAACACACCGCUCCAACGGUGUUUCCACUUAUAUGACAUGGAGUUUGCCACAAGAAUCUAUUGUCCAUCAUCUCUGUGACUCAGAGCGAGUUGGAGGCUUUAGCCCAACAAACUGAUGUCAUGGGGCAUUCGUCCAAGAUGCACAUAGUACAUCAAAAGAACAAGUCGGUUAUUUCCUUUGCUUCGUUGUGGAUGAAAAAGCUUAUAUCUCGAAGCAAUGAAAGAUGCCCGCCCAUAACUAAGGAUUCAAUAGUGCGGUCAUCCUUCCUUGCUUGUAAUGUGUACUCAAAAUAGGUUCAUGCCAAGUGCUUUAGCCAUCAACCACUCCUUGCACGCACGAGUUAAAACUAGUUGAUUAUUUGAGGAAUCAAAUCGGGUACGACUCAAGUCCAAAUCAAGUUUUAAUUCUUUGUCAAUUAAACUUAUUCGGCACACGAUUAAGUCCAAAUCAAGUCUUGGUUUUUUUAUCAAUCAAAAUAAUUUGAUCAAAUUGCCAAAAUAGUUAAAACAUAUAAUAAUAAUAUACUUUAUUUUUAUUUAUAAUCUCUCCUACUUUCACUCUCUCUCCUGUCCCCCAUUUUCUCCGCCGCUAUUCCUCCCUCAUCUCAACUUCACUGGAUCUUCGAGAGCAACCCCGUCGUCAGUGGUCGCAUGGCCACCGUCAACAUCUCCACCCACACCUUCGAGGCCGGCGCCUCCAUUCUCCACCCCAGGAACUUGCACUCUUUGAACUACACCAAGCUCCUCAACCUCGCCGUCAAAAGCCCCUCCUCCUCUUCCGCGCUUCAAAUCAAAGCUUCCCUUUGCUGAUAAGAUUGUUUUGCUUCCAAUUCACUGCUCAUGCUCUUCAGAUACGGCUUCUCCCUUGUCAGGAUGGACAAAUUUGUUGAGGUAUAAAAGUAAAUAAAUAAAAGGUUUGUUUAUUGGGUUUAACUUAGCGUUUUGUUGUUGAAUUUGGUAAAUUUCUUUGUGUGGUGCAGAUAAGAUUGUUUGGCAUCUUAUUAAUUUAUUGGGUGUUAAUUUGGUGAAGUCCUUGCCUAUGAGAAUCAUCAAUCCUGCUACUGAAGAAAUCAUGGUCCUUUUCUCACCCUAAGCAUUUCUGUCAAUUAAAUUAAUUUCUGGGUUGUUUUCUAAAUUUAAUUACUGUUUAAUCAUCGCAUUUGAUCGUGUGUAGGAUCUAGAAGAAGGAGAGGGAUAGUCGUUGGUGCAGUGGUGGUGGUCGGUGUUGAGCAGGAGUGGGAGGGACGGCGGCGGUCCUAGGGGUCUGAUGCGGCGGGAGAACGAGGGAGUAGGAAAGAGAUCCUUCCAGUUUGUAACAGGGACAAGGACGCAUUUUGUAAAACUAGCGAGGGUGUAGGAGAGUUUCAUUGAACAUGCACUGUUCCUCUGUAUGUUAUGGAAAAAGGCUAGAUUUUCAAACCAAUGUUUCGCUGCUUCAGCUUUUAGUCUUUUUAUUCACCCUCAAUUUAAAAAAGCUGGUUUUAGAGUAUUUACCAAACCCUAAAAAGACCGCAACUUUUUUUCAUACCUGCAUAUUUUUUUUUUUAAAUUUCAGCAGUACCAAACUGGUACUAAGAGCCCCAGACUUUCUUUAAUUACACUAUAUUUGUGUUACACCUUUACAAGAGUGGUAUUUAAUCAAUCACAUAAACAUGUACCUAACAAAUAAUAUAGGGCAUUCAAUAUGGAUAUGAAAAACUGCAACAAAUUUCAAUGUUAAUCCAGGUGUGUGUAGGAGCGAUAUGUUUGUAACUACCUCCAGGGUAUAUGUAAGAUGGCUUAUCAGAAAUUGGAAACCAAAAUAGCUCCCUUAAUUGAUUAGGGGCUAUAUCUAUGAUGGCUUAUCAGAAUUUUUUAUCUAUACUUAUGCUUUGCACUUCGAAAACUAGCUAGUUAUUUCUCUUUGAUUUUGUUAUUAUAUCUUGUUGUAUUUCUUGGGUAUUUAAUGUUCUUCACAAUAUUCACUUUACAAAGUUCAAGCUCUAGUCAAAUUUGAUUUACUCAUCCUUCUGUUCUAAACGCAGGUUUUCUAUUGUUCGUACUCUUUUGUUUUGGUAAGAGCUUUGCUAAUAUCUAUGAUAUCCAAUAUUGAGCAUAUAGUUUGAUCCAAGGCAACAAGUCAAUUUCUUUUCUCAUGAUGUAUUUUGUGAUUUACUCCAAUGUUCAGGACUACUUUUCGGGGUAAAAUUUCUAUUCGGGGCACCAUUCGUGACUGCGUUUUUGAUCUAUACAUGGAAAAGAAGACAUUUGUCAAUGUACAACUCCAUAGAAGAAUUUUUGCAUGGUGAAAAGACUUUAGUGCCAAUAAGGUACUCGUACUCGAACAUCAAGAAGAUGUCUAACAAAUUUAAAGAAAAACUUGGUGAAGGAGGGUAUGGAUCAGUUUUUAAAGCAAGGUUACGGAGUGGACGUUUUGGGGCAAUUAAGAUGUUGGAUAAGCCCAAAGGCAAUGGACAAGAUUUCAUCAGCGAGGUAAAUACUAUUGGGAGGAUUCACCAUGUUAAUGUGGUUCAGCUUGUUGGUUAUUGUGUUGAAGGAACAAAGCAUGCUUUGGUAUAUGACUUCAUGCUCAACGGAUCUCUUGAUAAAUACAUUUAUUGCAAAGAAGGAAGUAUCCCAUUAAGUUGCAAGACAACGUACGAGAUUUCUCUUGGAGUGGCUCGAGGGAUCAAAUAUCUACAUGAAGAUUGUGACAUGCAAAUAUUACAUUUUGACAUCAAGCCUCACAACAUUCUUCUUGAUGAGAAUUUCAUACCGAAGAUUUCUGACUUUGGGCUUGCAAAAUUAUACCCGGUGGAUAAUAGUAUUGUAUCUCUAACAGCAGCAAGGGGUACAAUGGGAUACAUGGCUCCUGAGCUAUUCUACAAGAAUAUUGGCGGUGUUUCGUUUAAAGCCGAUGUUUAUAGUUUUGGAAUGUUGUUGAUGGAAAUGGCAAGCCGAAGGAAGAAUUUGAAUGCAUUGGCAGAGCAUUCAAGCCAACUUUACUUCCCUUCAUGGGUUUACAAUCAAUAUAAUGAAGGAAAGGACUUCGAGGUGGGAGAAGUUGUGGAGGAGGAAAAACCAUUAAUAAGAAAAAUGAUUAUAACCGCCUUGUGGUGUAUACAAUUGAAGCCAAGCGAUCGACCUUCAAUGAAGGAAGUCCUACAGAUGCUCGAAGGAGAUGUUGAAUUACUUCGAAUGCCUCCGGAGCCUCUUCUAUAUCCCAAGAGAUGCCCGUAGGUGCUCCUAAUGAUAAUCCGAAUCCAACAUAUUCGAAGGUGGAGUUAACAUCUUCUUUGACGGGUAGGUGAAGACACGCAACUAGCAUGGACUCUGUCAGUUUGAAUCUCAAUGCAAUGUUUCUGGUUUUGUAGUAGUACUGUGUGCAUGAUAAAACCCCCUUUCAUUGAUGUUAAAUAUGUUUAGUACAACAUAUUUUCAUGAUUCCAGGGAUAAAUAACAUAUUUCAUGGAGGACAUGUUGUAUGAUUCAUGAAGACGAUAUUUUCUAAUUUUUGUUCCAAGAAAUUAUUAGUUGUGAUGAUUGUUCGCUCGUGCUGAUAAUUCUGGUUCUAAUGGGCUCAUGCCGGCUGCUCUUACAUAUCUCCGGUUGUUAUUUGUCCGUGGAGGGAGGGACCUCCCUAGUCAAUAUCGAAAACAUUUUUUUUCUUGUGAAUACAACGAUAUAUUUACACUAAGGGGGAGUGGGUCGCCUAAGCCAUACAAUGGACAAUCUAAUUUGCUAUCCAAUUUGUCAUCUACAAGAUUUAAACUUAAGAUCUCUCACUUGCAAGUGAAGAGGAAUAUCAUCAUAUGUAGUAUUGAGUGGCAAUAUUCGAAACCUUUUAGUUGGGUGGCAAUAUUCGAAACCUUUUAGUUUGCCAAGUCAUUUCUUGGUUAGAAGUUUUUUAAGAAAGUUGAGGUUCCACCCCAAAAUCAAUUGGCAAUAUGAGAGUAGUCUAAUUACUUAUAAGUACAUGUAAGGUCCCUUCUUUCUCUAAUGUGGAAUUCACUUUCAAAAAAUAUUUUGUCUGAGAAUCCCUCCUUUUGUAUUUGAAAUGCUGCCUGCUCUGUACUGUGCAACCAGUUUAUAGCCUUGGUGGAGGACUUAGCCUUCUCAUUAUAAUUUCCUAUGAUACUUGAACGUAAUGUCUAUCACUUGCUGGAGCAUCAUUGUAAUUGUAAGCCAAAUGGAAGAUUUGUUGAUCACAGCCUUGGUGAAGAUAUUCAAUUCCUUUGGCAAAUGGCUAGAUCUUGCAUCCCAACCAAGAAAUUUGUUGUUAUUGUCUGCUGAUGAAAUGAAAUCAUGCAGUGAUCUAUUGAACAGCAGUUCGUCUAAAUCCAUAAACGCAGAAGCCAACCAAGGGAAUAGCAUGGUUGAUAUGACCCAUUGUUCCCCCUUUAUUUAUGAACUCUUCUCCAUCUCCCCUUCCAAUUGUAUAAUAUCAUAUGGUUUACCAUAUCGUAUUUCGGUCACAAGUGAGAUAAUUAAUCUCAAUUCGAACUUAGCGAUUAAUAUAAUGAUAAUUUUUUUUUCAUGAUCAGGAUUUUCAGCCUGGAGAGACAGUAAGAAGUUUGCCACACUGCCAUAACAUAUUUCACCUGCCUUGUAUAGAUAAGUGGCUCCUAGGGCAUGCCUCAUACCCUCUCUGCGUAAGGGAUUUGUGAAUGUGAUGAUCUUCUUGUAGAUUACCAAAUGAGUAAAAAGUUCAUUUAUUGAUUAUACAAAUUUUUUAUCCUUUUCAUUUGUAUUGGUAUUCACCAGACUGCUCUAGGAUGAGCAAAAUACUCAUAGGUUUGGGUAACCAUGUUUACCCGUCCAUUUAAAGUUCACGGUUAUGGUUAUGGGUAACCAUUUAGACGAACAAACGGUUAUGAGUAUAACCGUUUAUUUUUGAAAUUUAAAUGGGCUGUUAUGGAUAUUACCGACUGUUAUAAUGGGUAUCUAUUGGUUAUGGGUAUUAUCCACGAUUAUACGGGUAUCCAUUUACCUAUUUAAUUUAAUAUAUAUAAAAAUAAAAAUAAAAUUAUCGCAGGGAUUUUGAGGGGUUUUAGAAGUAGCUCCUAUCGCAGGGAUUUUGAGGGAUUUUAGAAGUAGGCUCUCUCUCUCUCUCUCUCUCUCUCUCUCUCUCUCUCUCUCUCUCUCUCUCUCUCUCUCUCUCUCUCUCUCUCUCUCUCUCCCUCUCCCUCCUCUGGUCCUGACCCUCUCCUUCCCAGCUCCACUGCAGGGAUUUUAAUUAUCACAGGGAUUUUGGGUAUGCUAAAAUUCUAAGUACAGGUUCAUGGUGUAGGCUCCGGCCAUGAACUCUUUCUUGCAAAGUGCAAAUGCAAUAACAACAUAUAUAUAUAUAUAUAUAAAUACAAAUUACACAAUAUAAUUAAUCAAUUAAAAUACACACAAUCAUCCAGUUGAUCUGGUCACCAUGUCUGUAUGUGCUAUCAAUAGAACAUUUGUGACUUGCCAUCUUGAUAGUUGAUACGAUGAUAUAUCACUUUGUGAAUAUGAUCUCGUAAACUAUCAUUUCAAUUAUUGAAAUUGUAUGAGGACUUGAAUGAUUAAAAUAUAGAAAUGCAUGCUAAAAUGUACCUAUAACGGUGCUUAAUUGUCAGAAAACGAAAAUUAUGAUAAAUUUUUCUUUUGUAAUUUUCAAGUUGUUAGAAAAAAAACAUGUAGACGGAUGAAAAAGGGUAAAUGGGUAAAAAAAAAGAAGGAUAAAUAGGUUCAAAAACGGGUAAUUGGUUAUGGUUAUGGUUAAAUGGGUAAAUGGUUAUGGUUAAAUAGGUACAUGGUUAUGGGUAUGGAUAACCAUUUAUAAACGGUUAUGGUUAUGGGUAUAACCGUUUAUGCAAUUAUCUAACAGAUAAAUGGUUAUGCGGGUAUGAAUAUAAACGGUUAUGGGUAAAUAACUACAGUUACCUACCCGCCAUAAUCGUUGCUCAUCCCUAGAUUGCUCCAGUAGCUGCAGGUUGGUUCAUUGGAACUGAUUAUUUUGGUUUUGGCACAAUCUGAUAUUUAAUGUGGUAGUAUGUGAUACUAAUAACACACUAUUUUUGAAACCGAAAACCAAAAUAAUUCACACUAUUUCUAGAACUACAACGAAAUAACCCUCACUAUUUCUGAAACUGAAUCAAAAUAAUCAUUGGAAACUACAAUAAAAUAACCCCCACUAUUUUUGAUACUUGUUGUAUUGAUGGUUUUGUUGGGUUUUUAGUUCUUUGAUGAUUUUUUAUUGUAAAUGGCUUCUCAUCAGAAAUUAUUAAACACCGGAUUUGCUAUUUUGGUUGCGUAGCUAUGCAGUUGCUCUCUCCAAUCCAUCUAUCAGUCCACUUGAUUGCUUGGAAUAAUUUGAAGGUAGUUAAUUAAAUUACUUUGCUUCUUUUUCGAUCGACUAUAUAUAUUAGUGCUAGUUGCCUUGGUUAAGACUUUGAACCAGGGUUGGAUGAAGUGAUGGAGGGAGGCAGACAAUGGUGACAUACGGUGGGGAUGGGCGGAGGGGUCGGAUGACGGGUCGUGGACUAAGAAAACGGUGCCCAUUAGUGCUCCCUUGCCUAAGACUUUAAGGGCCCUGACAGUCACCAGCGAGAUCGAGCUCCGGCGAGGUUGGAUGGUGAAUGCGGGGAUAUGGAAAAUGCAGAAAGUGAUUUAAAUUUUUUUUUAUUAUUAAUAUAAUUCUUGUCGAUUUUAUCCGACAGGAAAUGCUUUUAUUUGUUCAUUAGUAAUUUAUUCCUGUCGGUUUUAUCCGACAUGAAAUGGUUUUAUUUGUGCAUUUUUAAUUAAUUUCUGUCGAAUGGUUUAAUCAUUUUCUGUCGGUUUUAGCCGACAAAAAUAAUUUAUUUAUCCGACAUAAUUUCUGUCGAUUUUAGAGUAUUUUCUGUCGGAAAAUUAAUUUCCUGACGCAGGCAAUUCUGUCACUUAUUAUAUCCGCCACUGCAUCCAUUUUCUGUCAGAUUUUACUUAAAAUUCGACAUAAAUAUAUGUUUUUUGUCGGUUUUCAAAACGUCAUUAAUAACUGGUUUCCUAGUAGUGUCAGUUGGGCAUGGAACCGUUAAUUGUACAUCUCAAAUUUCACUUUCUUUGUAACCAUAAUUUCUGACAUUAAAGGAAAAACUGUACAAAUCAUUCUCACCACAUCCAGAAUUAGCCUACAAAUAACUCCAUAUUACACCGAUAAGUGUACCAGGGAUGGCCGUAAAUCCCAUCAUCCACUUUAGGAGAUUUUUUCUUAAACGACCAUUGGGGCAUAAUAUUUAAUUAUCACAUGGAAACAACUUUUUUUAUAAAGGAAAACUAAUGAAAAAGUCUUGAAAACUUUGAGUUUUAACGAUAAGGACAAAAUAAAGAGUAAAGUGAAUAGUAUAAGGAUUGACUUUUUAGUGUAAAAAUAUGGUUUUUCGUUAAAGUGAACAGUACCGGGAGUUUUUUGUUAAAGUUCUCUUUUUAUAAAGCAAGGGUAAGUUGCGUCCGUUAGAUAUUCACCUCGACCUUCGUAAAGCGAUGAACCUUGUUGGCUAAUUAAGCAUCAUAAUGAGCUAAUAAUAAUAUGGUUUAAAUUCACCUUCGGUGAGAAUCGAACAUAAGACCUCUCAAUUACAAAUGAAGAGGAAUACCACUAGACCGUAAUACUAAGUAACAAUUUUUGAGCAAUAUUAAACAUACUACAAUGUGUGUGUAUAUAUAUAUAUUAACAAACGAUAUUAUUUAUACUAAAGGGAGGGGUUAGACUUAACCUCAUAAUAAGCUAGCAAUAAUGUGGUUUAAAUUCUCAUUUAUCAAGAAUUGAACCUAUGACCUCUCAAUUACAAGUGAAAAAGAUUACCACUAAUUAUUCGGAUAUUAAAUAUACAAUGCACUUGUCCUAAAUUAAUUAAUAUAAGAGACCUUUUGAUAUAAUUGAUAAAAAAAAAAAAAAAGGUAGCCGAUCUGCGACGAUUCCUUUAUCUCUUUCCCCUAUCUGUGAAAUCCCAACCCUAGCCCCAAUUUCUGAAACUCUCCAUCUCUCUCCUCCAUGCCCUUUCUAUCUGCUUUCUCGGUUACUCCUGUUGUGGUUCAUGAUGUUGUUCAAGCCAACGUGUCUUUGACAGCUGUGAGUGGAUCGAAAUUCAGAAAUCUCAUAUCUACUUUCUGAGUGGCUCGCCUACUACUAUAUUAAGUGGGUCCUACAUAUAUUUUUAUUAGAAAAUUAGAUUUUAAUCCCUAAAUAAGAAGAAGUUUAGAAAAAUGUUUUAUACAAGAUUAAAAAUUGAUUUUAGUCCCUAGACUCUAUUUAAUGCCAACAAUUGUUUUUAAUGUCUCUUUUUUUAUUUAUAAUUUUAUGAAUUUAAAUUUUAUGAAAAUAUGAUAAAUUUUAAUUCUCAUUAUGGUAAACAUCUUAUAUAAGAAAAUAUUUUCGUAGAAAUUUUUCGGUACACUUAUGUUUUUGCAUAUUUUCUUAUCUGCCACUAAUUCAUUACAAUAUAUUUAGGUACGAACAUUUCGGUACACUGGGUUAGUAUAAUAUGUUUAGGUACAUACAUUUCAGUACACUAGUUUAGUAUAAUGUAUUUAGGUAUCAACAUUUCGGUACACUAGUUUAGUAUCAUAUAGUUAGGUACAAAAUUUUUGGUACACUUAUGUUUUUAUGUCACAUCCCGGCCCGAGUCCUCACCACAUCCCAAGCUCGACUUCACCGUAGCACUAUAUUGUCCACUUUGGGCAUCGACCAUACCCUUACGGUUUUGUCUCUGGGAACUCACACGAGAACUUUCCAAUGGGUCACCUAUCAUGGGAUUACUCUCGCGCGAACUCGCUUAACUUCGAAGUUCCAAUGGAACCCGAAGUCAGUGAGCUCCCAAAAGGUCUCAGGUAGAGAUGAGAAUAUAUAUAUAAGGCAUAGAUAAUCCACUCCCCUGGGCGAUGUGGGAUCUUACAAUCCACCCCCUUAGGGGCCCGACGUCCUCUUCGGCACACUUCCAGCCAAAGAUUGGCUCUGAUACCAAAUUGUCACAUCCCGGCCCAGGCCCCCACCACAUCCCAGAUUCGACUCCACCGUAGCACGAUAUUGUCUUCUUUGGGCCCCAACCACAUCAUCACGAUUUUGUUUUUGGGAGCUCACAUGAGAACUUCCAGUGGGUCACCCAUCAUGGGAUUGCUCUCAAGCAAACUCGCUUAACUUCAGAGUUUCUAUGGAACUCGAAGCCAGUGAGCUCCCAAAAGGUCUUGUGCUAGGUAGAGAUAAGAAUAUACAUAUAAGGCAUAGAUGAUCCACUCCCCUGAGUGAUGUGGGAUCUCACAUUUUACAUAUUUUCUUAUGUGUCACUAAUUCACUACAAUAUGUUUAGGUACGAGCAAUUCAGUAUACUAAUUUAGUAAAAUGUAUUAUGAUACAGACAUUUAGGUACACUAAUUAGAUAAGGUUAAAUACAAUUAAUGAAUUAAAAUGUGUAUAAUAAUAAAUUAAAAAAUUCAAUGUAAUAACAUUAAAUAAAGAAAAUUGUUAUUAGCACUCAAAAAAUCUCAUUCUAUACUACUUACAAAUGUAUUUAUCUUUCUAAUUAUGAAAGUUUGAAGUACCAAAUGAGAUUUUAGGAUGCUAAUAAUAAUUCCUUAAAUAAAUUAUCUAUUAUAUACAAAAACAAAAAUAUAAUAUGAAUUUGAAUUAGGUACACAUUAAGGGAUUAAAACCAAUAUUCAAUCUAAUACCAUAAUUUUAUUAAAUUUUAAUCUUCUUGAAAAUUUAAAGUUCAUAAACCCCUAUUUUUAUUCCUCCAAUGUUAGCAAACACUUCAAUCACUGGAAGAAGUGCAAUUCCAAUUUCUUACAUUCAAUUCCCCUUACGUAAACACGUUAUUAAUCAGGUCAACAUGCAAGGAGGAGGGAGAGUUUGAAAAGAAAAAAAAGGGACGGAAAAAAGAAAUGGGACAGAAAAAAUAGAGAGAAAAUGUCUUGAUGGAAAGAAGAAAAAAGAAAAAAAAACAAAGAGAAAGAGGAGAGAGAGAGAGAGAGUCUGAUUGAAGGAAGAAAAAUAAGAGAAAAAGAAGAGAAAAAAAAAAGGGAAAGGAAGAAAAGGGAAAGGAAGAGAGAGACAUAUGUAGAGAAGAAAAAGAGAGAAGGAAGAGAGAACAGGACCGAAAAAAAAAAAGAGAAAGGGACGGAAAAAAAAAGCAAAGAAAAAGGAGAGAAAAAGAGAGGGAAGAGAGGAGGGGACCAGAAAAAACAGAGAAAAGACGGAAAAAAAAAAGCAAAGAAAAAGGAGAGAGAAUCUGCUGGAAAGAAGAAAAAGAAGAGAUAAAAAUGAGAAAAAGGGGCGGACAAAAACAAAGAGAAAGGAAGCAAGAGAGAGAGAGAGAAUGAAGGAAAGAAGAAAAAGAAGAGAGAAGGACGAAAGAAAGGGAGGGGAAAAAGAGUUUGAUGGAAAGAAGGAAAAAAAAGAUGAGGAAGAGAGAAGGGGACGGGAAAAAAACAAAGAGAAAGGAAGAGAGAGUUUGAUGGAAUAAGAAAAAGAAGACAGAAGGAAGAGAGAAAGGACGGAAAAAAUGGGGAAAGGACGAGAGCAUGAUGGAAAGAAGAAAAAGAAGAGCUACGGUGCAUGGAAAAAAGAAAAAAACCAAAGAGAAAGAUGAGAGAGAGAGAGAGAGUCUGAUGGAAGGAAGAAAAAGAAGAGAAAAAGAGACAUAUGUAGAGAAGAAAAAGAGAGAAAGAAGAGAGAACAAAAAGAAGAGAAAAAGAGACAUAUGUAGAGAAGAAAAAGAGAGAAGGAAGAGAGAACAGGACCGAAAAAAAAAGGAUCGGAAAAAAAAAAGGAAAACUAAUAAAAAGGGAUUGAAAAUUUUGAGUUUUAAUGAUAAAGAUAAAAUAAAGGGUAAAUUGAAUAGUAUCAAGAUUGACUUUUUAGUGUAAAAAUGUGGUUUUUCGUUAAAGUGUAAAAAAAAAAGAACGGAAAAAAAAGGCAAAGAAAAAGGAGAGAGAAAAAGAGAGGGAAGAGAGAAGGGGACCAGAAAAAACAGAGAGAAAAGACGGAAAAAAAAAGCAAAGAAAAAGGAGAGAGAGAAUCUGCUGGAAAGAAGAAAAAGAAGAGAUAAGAAUGAGAAAAAGGGGCGGACAAAAACAAAGAGAAAGGAAGCAAGAGAGAGAGAGAGAGAGUGAAGGAAAGAAGAAAAAGAAGAGAGAAGGACGAAAGAAAGGGAGGGGAAAAAGAGAGAGAGAGUUUGAUGGAAAGAAGGAAAAAAAAAAGAUGAAGAAGAGAGAAGGGGACGGGUAAAAAACGAAGAGAAAGGAAGAGAGAGUUUGAUGGAAUAAGAAAAGAAGAGAGAAAGGACGGAAAAAAUGGGGGAAAGGACGAGAGCAUUAUGGAAAGAAGAAAAAGAAGAGCUACGGUGCAUGGACAUGAUGGUAUUAUUCCUGUGUCGCAUUUUUUUGGUCAUAAAAUAAUUUCUUUUGUUAAUUUGACGUAUACUCGUAUCAUGUUCUGUCAUAAUUCUGUGUCCGCAACCAUGCAUCAUAAAAGAACAAAGAAGGAAGAUAAAGGGAUGGAGGAAGGAAGAGUGAGAGAGAGACAGAGAACCGCUGCAGUUGUUCAGAAAGUGGUGGGUUGAGUUUUUAUUUUUGUGAAAUGAUUAGUUAAUAAAAUCUUUGAGAUUUAACAAAGAUUUAAUAUUUAUUGUUGGAGAUGCUCGAGUCAUCAGAAAUGGACAAUACUUAGUACUGACUGUUGAGUACCCAAAAUAUUGACCUAAUGACAUGCCUAGAAAUAUUAAAACAUCUUUCAUUUAAAGCUCUCCCCAAACAUUUGUGGUCUUGUUAACCAAACACCUAACUUUCAUCCUGAGCUCAUAACCAAACACCCAUCUUCUUCCUAUUUGUUUGAGUAAAUUAUAGUUGUGAUCCCUAAACUAUGACUGAACUAUGGUACCUCAAUUAAAAAUUUAUUAGUUUUGGUUCUUUAAUUUGACAAAAGGUGUAACAUUGGUCAUUCCAUGCUAACUAUUAAGUUUUCUGUCAAAAUGAUGACAUGGUAGGCACAUGGAACCCAUGAUUAAUAUUAUAAUAUGAAAAUUUAAAACAUAGAAAAUUAAAAAAAAAAAAAUCCUUUAUCUCCUUCACUAGUAACAAUGACGCCAACACCAAACCUUGUACUUAAUUUUCUCUAUCCUACAAACCUCGUACCCAAUUCCCUCUUCAAAAUCCAAUCAGAACUUUAAUACCAAAACUCAUCGCAAGCAUCAUACCCACCGCUACAUUUGGUGCAGGAUUGGUUAUAGAAUGCGACUGGAAUGUUGGGGGUGGGACUACGAUGGUGAAGGGUCGGUUGUGGCGUGCGGUUGAGAGAGAUAAAAAAGUGAGUGUUGCGAAUUGGGGAAGAUAGGGCUGGACACGGGUUGGGCCGGGCCCGAUUUUGAAAGGAUCAGACUAGACUCAGGUGCAAAAGAGACUGGCGGGGUCGGAGAUAACAUAUUUUAAUAAAGGAACCGGACCUAACCCGGCCUGGUUGAAAUGAGCUGGGGCCACAAGUCCUUUUUUUUUUUUUUUUUUUUUUUUGCGAAACUGCCACCUUCUUCGACAUCUCCACCUCCCUCCUCCAAGGCUAUGCCAUCCUCGCAAUCCUUGCAGCAAAAAUGCAGAGAAAAUUAGCAAAACCCAGAUUGGGGGUUGGGGCUAAAAGCUAAAAAUGCAUGAUUUGUGGAAAACCUAGCUGGGAUUAAGAACUUGAAGAAGAAGAAGCAGAAUGUUUGGGGAGAGAGAGGGAGUCCCGACCCUCUACGUCACCUACGACCACAACAUCCAUUCUGCCAACCCUUUUAGCCGACGCCACGAGCGAGUCCCGAUCAAGCCCUUCUACAACUCAAUGAACUCACCCAUCGAUUUCGUCCCUGCUGUCAACUUCCUUGACGACCGCUACUUCUCUGACGUUGACGAAAAGAUUGAGGCAAGGAGGGAGACGUUGAGCGGUCAAGCUCCCCGAUUUGAGAGGAAGGAGAUUGAGAAUCGACAGGAGAGGAAUGGGAAAAUGUUACAAACAAGCCGGUCCGGGUACCUUUUUUUUUAUACUUCUUGAACCGGCCCACCCCUAAAAUUUCAAAGCCCCGCCCUGCCCUGCCUUGUUUCUCUUUUUAAAAAUUAAAAACCAGCCCGUAUCCUCCUCGAACUGUAAUUACCCGCCCCAAACUGUGAUUACCUGCCCCGACCCACGGUUCAUGUACCUAUUUGCCCACCCCUAGGGGAAGAUGGAAGUAAGGCGUGAGGUAUGGUGGGACAACACCCAUCUCGAACAUUUCUUUUUAUUUUUUAUGCCAAUAGUUUAAAGUGUUUUGUUUCAAUUCUUAUAAGUGAAUAAUGUGAAUGCAAAUUUUCGCCGUUUCUUUUUUUGACAAAAAUGCACUUAUAAAAUAAUAACACAUAAGAUUAAGACCAAAAGCCUCACGCGCUUAGGUAGGCCUGGCUGGUGACAAUGCUGCUUAGGAUGGGGCAACUGUAGAUGAAGUGCAGGAGGUUGAUGUUGCUGAGAGAGAUGCGGCUGCUAAAGAUGUCCAAGUUGUUGAGGAGUAGUCUUUCUAGAUAAACUUUAGGAUUUACUGUCUUUUCCUUUCCUUUCCUUGAACUCUGUUGGCCUUCGUGCCAGUUUACCAAUUUGCUAGAAAUUAAUAAACUGUUUUUCUUCGCUUUACUUCAUUCUCAUCUUUUUGCCUUGCUUCAAACUUUUGCCGUAAAAUGAACAAUUGAGCAAGCUGCUUUGAACAAAGCAGUUAAGCACAUCUCCCUUGCUUUAGGAGCAACGUCCCAUUCAUUGCUCAAUAGUUUGGUUGACAAGUGAGAUCUCGCGGAAAUGUAAAAAAUCACUACAUAAAGAUUGUCUGUUGCAAUCUCCAAUAGUGUCAUACAUGUAAUCAUGAUUGCUCUGAGCACUCAACGAAAGAAACAUUUAGGGAAAAUUAUGUGAUGAUGUAGUUGAACCAUGUCUUAUUUUGGCACCAAUAAUCUGAGAGAUAUUCUUUUGUUUCUACUAUACUCAAUUACUUGACUAAUUUUAUAACACUUUUUAGGUGACUAAUGAGUAAAUCUAUAUAUCUAGAGGGAACAACAAAUUUGCGAGUUUAAUAAUGUCAUAGACAGAACAAGAUAUGGUUAGAUGAAACGGCAAUUUGCUCGUGGAUCCAAUAUAUAACUCAUAUUAGUGAAAAGCUGACUGUGCCACGUGCGCUUAGGCAAGUGGCUCUAUUGGGAUUAGGAUCCUAGCCCGAUCAUUUUGUAGAGAUUCGGAUGAUCAAUCAAUUGUGUUUAUUCAUCGUACAUCGUGUAAUAAUAAAAUAUUUUAAAUUUUUUAUUUAAAAUUAAAUACAAACAAUAUUUAAUGAAACUGACCGCACAAUAUACGAUGAAUGAGCAUGAUUAAUUGAUCAUCUAGAUUUUCACAAAAAGAAUAUGAAGAGGAUCCUCAUCCCUCUUAUUUACCUUGUACUAGUCAGAAAAUCCGAGUCUAUUGGAAAUUGAGUUAUUUACUUGAAAAAAGAAGAAUGAAUUGAUUUAAUUUUUUUUUUUUUUUUUUUGUCAUUAGUUAAAUUUGGGGGUGGGGGGAUUCGAACCUUGGAUGAGGUGGGAGUUUUCUUGGCUCUAGUGCCACUGCACUAGGCCUCCAUCCUCGAUUUAAUUUUUAUUGACAUGCAUACUUUAUGGGGUCAAUAGUGAUGGAUGUACCGGUCAAUGGUAAGAGUCCACUUUACUUGGACAUCUUUGCUUUAUCCCUUGCUGGUCAAUGGUAAGAGUCCACUUUUUUUUUUAAACCAGUAAGAGUCCACUUCACUUGGACAUCUUUGCUUUGAGUGGAAGACCUUGAAUCGUUCGAUUUAUAAAGACUGGAUCGAAACCUCAUGGAAAGUUUGAAAAGAAUUACGAUCUAGGCAAAAAAAAAAAAAAAAAAAAAAAGAGUGAGAGAGAGAAAAAAAUUUACACUCAAGGCACAAUGGGUUGAAGAAGAAGACCUUAUUACUAAAACAAUCCAACACUUGCCAAUAGUUUUCUUUUUAGUAGUUUAUUUAUUUCCUCAUAUAAAUCAAUGUGUAAUCACCAUUAUCUUAUUUGAUUUUGAUUGAGGUAUGUAUUAAACUUGAGACGUAUUUCGACAUUCUAGAAGAGAUAUGACUAGACCAAUCUCUCUAGUUGGUAACGUCACUCAUCCUAAAGUGAUUGUUGUUCAAGAAAAAGUGAAUUUUCACUAAUAAUUCAUCAUUCCAAUAUCCACAUCGUGCAAUUAUCGCCCUCAAUAUGUAAAAGUACUCGGAAAAAAAAGAAAGAAGAAGAAUGCUACAAAAACAUAUCAAUUUGAAUGGGAAACUGAGUCUUCCCGGCCCUAGGAAGGGGUGGAUAAUCGUGGCUUGCCACUAGUUGUUUUUUUUUUUUUAAAGAAUGGGAAACUGAGAACCUAGAAACUUUGAAGGAUCAUAACUAAGCAAGCAUGGCAACAAUAUGUCUAUCGAAGCUAGUUAAGAACUGUGGUGUAAGAACUUGAGGAAAGAUUUUUGCAUAAAAGUUUUAUGGAAAAGUAAUGCAUAUGGCCAGGCCAGACAUUGGUUUCAAGUGAAAAACCAAGCAAUCCAACAAACCUCGAAUGUAAUUACGUAGUCGGACAAACACCUCGAGCUAUCGAGCACAUAUGGUACUUAGGUACAAUGGUUACACUUCUCAGGAGUCCUUAUUAACAUACAUAAGUGUGUGCGCACAUAACUAUCUAUAUAUCUAAGUAGAUAUGUUACUCUAAUUCAGCAAUAGCUUCUAACUGAAUGUUUAGAUUUCUUGCAGGUGUAGUUGCAUUUGUUCGUGCAGGACCUGUAGAUGCAAAAGGAUUGGGAGGCAUGGUUAAGUUUUCUCCUCCUUCCAGCAUUUGAACAACUUCUUUCAUGGAAGGACGACCCGCUGGAUGCCACUGGAUGCACCAGAGCCCUACAAUUGCGAGUUUCUUUGGAGUUUUACCAUCUCCUUCCUCCCCAAGAUGGAUUCGUAGGUCGUCUCCUUCUUCUAGGAGAUUAUAGAUCCAUUCUGGAUAGUAAAUUUCAGUUGGGAUUGCUGAGGUUGAAUCAAUAUUCUUCCUUCCCCCUACCAUCUCAAGCAGCAGCAUUCCAAAACUAUAGACGUCCGACUUAUAGGACACAUUUCCAAAGUUCCUGGAGAACACUUCAGGUGCAAUGUAGCCCAUAGUCCCUCUAGCUGUAGUCAUGGACACUAUGCUUUGAUCCUUAGAACACAACUUGGCCAAACCAAAAUCAGAAAUUUUUGGAGUGAAAUUGUCGUCUAAUAAAACAUUAUGAGGCUUGAUGUCGAAAUGGAGGAUUCGUUGCUCACAUUCCUGAUGAAGAUAAUAAAUUCCCUUGGCUACAGCAAGAGCAAUAUCUUGCAACUUGUCCCAACCAAGGAAACGAUUGUUAUUGUCUGCCGAUGAAAUGAAAUCGUGCAGUGAACCAUUGGCGAAGAACUCAUAAACGAGAGCUCUGUUAAACCCAUCAGCACAGAAACCAACCAAACGAACCACGUUGACAUGGUGGAUACUUCCCAUCAUUCCAACUUCCCUUAUGAAAUCUUCCCCAUUUCCGUUGGAACUAUUGAGAACUUUUACAGCAACAAAGCAUUCAGAAGAAAGUUUUCCUUUGAAAACAGUUCCAUAGGCUCCUUGGCCUAACUUGUCCUGGAAUUGGUUUGUGAUCCUCUUAAUAUCUGCAUAGGAAUACCUGCUUGGUUUCUGAGCGUUGUAAUCUUCUAAAAACUUUUCAAUCUUCAAUUGACUCUCCUUUUCUUUUCGAUUAGACCUAUAGACACGAUAGGCUGCAACGACCAGCAGAAGUAAUACAACAAAUGAUCCCAGGGUUGUACCUGAAUCAAACAAAUCCUUGAGUAAAUAAUAAUAUUCCCGACGGUCUAGCUAGACAUGAAAUAAAAUAAAAAACCGUCAGACUACUCACCACCUACGGCGGCAAAUUUCCAUGUUACACCUGAAAAAAGCAUUGACAAAUUUAGUAAUAGUGAUGAUCUACUGCUCGGGCAAAUUUAGUAAUAGAAGAAAACAAAUUACUCUUUGCCUAUUCAUUUGAAAUUCAUAUCAAAUGCGUUGCAUCUAGUUGUUUGAAAUAUGUUCAGUCGGAUGCUUACUAGAUAAGUAAGCAGCAAGUGCAAUAAUAUAGCAGAAUAUAUGUAAAAUAAAACCAAGAUUGAAAAUGUAGGCAGACUUACUAGGUUUGCUCAAGCGAACACAUUGAAUUUCAGUGUUGGUGUGGUUGUACUUGAUUCUACACUUGUUGCCCUCUGCCUCACACUCUCUACAAUUUGGUUUCUUCCAUUUCAAAUUAGGAACCUCACUAUAAUAAUAGUACAUCUGUGGAAUCGACAAAACAUCGUACAUCUUUGUACACGACUCUAGGAGCGGAUAGUACAUAGUUUCGUAGGAAGAUUCAAUGGCAUAAACUCUGUAGCCAGGGCCACUAAUGCAGGGGACUUUAGCACCGUCUAACUCUCUUUCAACAGGACAGUGGAAUAAGGUAGCGUUGGAAGGCAUGGAUUCUUGGAAGUAGAAUUGAGAGGCUGGCAAUGACAUGUUGAUGUUAUCAACUUCUAAAGGCUUUAACAGCAGGCAUUUACGCGGGUGAUAGACUUGGACUUCCUGAUGCUUGUAAUCUAUGCGCUUCACCAAGAAUUUCACCACUACCGCUCGGUGCUCCUGUCCGUAGUCAGCCUCAUUCGCAUGGCAAUCAGAUGUCGGACUACAGGGAUGUCCACGGCGAAACAGAAUAUGGAUGGCCUCGCCAUGAUCCCCGCAUUUGGAUUUUUCACAAGCAGAGGCAUUCUGGGUUGUUCCGAGCAAUGUUAACAAAGUAAUUGAGAAUAUGCGAACCCAAGAGAUAUUGAGCUGUUGCUGCUGCAUUUCUGAGGUAUUUUUUUUCCAAGGAGAAGAACAAAUAUAUGUUAAUAGUUUAACACAAAGACUUUGUAGAGUUCCUGACCAUAAAAUGCAAUUGAUCUACGGGUUAACCCCAAAGACCACGUCACGGAAGCCUAGAAAGUAUUUACUGUUUUGGUCAAUACUUAAUUCCACAGCGGAAAGAGAGAGCCAUUCCUCUUUACCUGCCACUUUCAAUCUAUACAACAACAACAACAAAGCCUUUUCCCACUAAGUGGGGUCGGCUAUAUGAAUCCUAGAACACCAUUGCGCUCGGUUUUGUGUCAUGUCCUUCGUUAGAUCCAAGUACUCUAAGUCUUUUCUUAGAGUCUCUUCCAAAGUUUUCCUAGGUCUUCCUCUACCCCUUCGGCCCUGAACCUCUGUCCCGUAGUCACACCUUCGAACCGAAGCGUCAGUCGGCCUUCUUUGCACAUGUCCAAAUCACCGGAGCCGAUUUUCUCUCAUCUUUCCUACAAUUUCGGCUACUCCUACUUUACCUCGGGUAUCCUCAUUCCCAAUCUUAUCCUUUCUCGUGUGCCCACACAUCCCACGAAGCAUCCUCAUCUCCGCUACACCCAUUUUGUGUACGUGUUGAUGCUUCACCGCCCAACAUUCUGUGCCAUAAAACAUCGCUGGCCUUAUUGCCGUCCUAUAAAAAUUUCUCUUGAGCUUCAGUGGCCUACGACGGUCACACAACACGCCGGAUGCACUCUUACACUUCAUCCAUCCAGCUCGUAUUCUAUGGUUGAGAUCUCCAUCUAAUUCUCCGUUCUCUUGCAAGAUAGAUCCUAGGUAGCGAAAACGGUCGCUUUUUGUGAUCUUCGCUAGAUUGCUCCGGUCAUUAGUGUGGAUAAGUAUAUAAAUGGAUAAAGAUAAGAAAGCAAACACAAGAUGUACGUGGUUCACCCAGAUUGGCUACGUCCACGGAAUAGAAGAGUUCUCAUUAAUUGUGAAGGGUUUACACAAGUACAUAGGUUCAAGCUCUCCUUUAGUGAGUACAAGUGAAUGAUUUAGUACAAAUGACAUUCGGAAAUAUUGUGGGAGAAUGAUCUCGUAACAUCUUCUCUGGAAGUACUCUUCCUCCAUCCAGGGGUGGUAUCUUUAACUGGUGGAGAUGCACAAGGUAAUGUAUCAAUUGCACUUGAAGCUUACUUGUAGUUUCAGGCUUGGUCAAGCGCGAUACAAACCAUGUAGUAGGAGUCCCCCAAGUCGCCGAGCUAGGGGGUCUGCUGAAAGAGGUGACAGACAAGGUAAGCAAUCAGAGCUCCGACUGAUUGUUCACCUUCUCCCCAUCUUGCAGCAGCAUGAAGGAUAAAGAGAAGAAAAAUGAGAAGAGAUGAUAUGAGAUACUUUUGCUUUUGAAGAAGUAACUUUCCACAGGCUUAUUCUUGAACUGAGCUGGAGGGUUUUUUGGUUUCCUCCAGAGUAUAAGGCCGACUGAAGAAUUUGAGGGUCAAAACAAGUCCAUCAAAUCUAGAGUACGUUCCACCCUGCUGAUAUGGGAUACUUUUGCUUUUGACAGAGUAAUGGAUGUAUCGGCACGUGUGCUGUUACGCUUGUCUCCACAUGCUUCCUUGUAUCCUUCGCACUUGCCCUAUCUGUUCCUCAAGCAGAUGCGGAAUCUUCCCUGGAAACAUAACAUGUUGAAGAUGAGUACUCGAGAGCAAUGCCAGGUAAGUAAUCAGGUAAGGGGUUCCAGGCAGUCAGUUCCUGGCUGGAAGCUUGAUUCCAAGUGCUGACUGAUUGCUCUCUUUCUCCUUGUCUUGCAGGUAAAAACAAGGUCAAAGGAAAAGACAGGGAAAAAGCAUGAUAUGGGAUACUCUUGCUUUUAACCCUGAUGAUAUGAGAUAUUCUUGCUCUAGUAUAGCUUGUUUGCAGAGGUAUUAUCGGGGGAAAGAAAAAGCUGAAUAUUUCGAAAGGCUUCGUUGGGAGUGCCCUCUCAGAUAUGAUGAAGGGUUGAGCAUUUUUGCAGGUCUGCCUGUCCGUUGGGGAUGGAAGUCGACAUAUAUAGGAGUCUCCCUAACAACAAGUAGUAAUGCUAUUCCUUUACCCUGCUUGGUCAUAGCACGGUAGUGGGAGCUGCUAGUUUCACAUGUUUUAACUCUGUCAGAGCACUUUGAAAAAGUGGCCUGUGGUAUCUGGCUCUCGAGAUUCGGAAAACGAUGCCUCUUCGAUUUUUGAGAAAGCAAUCAUGCUGGGGGUCUGGCUCUCGAGAUUCGGAGAGCAGUGUCUCUUCGAUUUUUGAGGAAGUAAUCAUGUUGGGAGUCUGGCUCUUGAGAUUCGGAGGGCGGUGCCUCUUCGAUUUUGGAGCAAGCAAUCCUGUUGGGAGUGUUGUCUCGAAUGUGAGUAAAGGUUGGGCAUGUUUGCUAGUCUACCUUGCCACGAAGCACAAAGGUUGACACACAGGGACUUUCCAAUUAUCCAGCAAUGGUACUGUUCCUUUACCCUCUCUUCGCUUUUGAGAAAGUAGUCAUGUUGGGAGUCUGGCUCUCGAGAUUCGGAGGACAGUGCCUCUUCGAUUUUGGAGCAAGCAAUCUUAUUGGGAGUGUUUUCUCGAAUGUGAGUAAAGGUUGGGCAUGUUUGCUAGUCUACCUUGCCACGAAGCACAGAGGUUGACACACAGGAACUUUCCAAUUAUCCAGCAGUGGUACUGUUCCUUUACCCUUAUGGGUAAUAAUAUGGUAGCUAGACCUUCAAAAUUUAUGUGUCUAAACUUUGUUAGUGCUGUUUCUUUGCUAUUCUUUUACCUUUCUUGGUCAGAGCGAUGUAGUGGGAGCUGCAAGCUUCACGUGCUCAACUUUGGCAGAGAACUUUGGCAAAGUUAUCUGUGGUACCCAUGAGCUAUUGUUGCGUGUGACAGGUGCUGACAAGGCUAGAAAAGUAGGUGCAUCUUCGAUUUCUGAGAUCGGCCCUCGUGGUCUCUGAGCAGCCCAGCUUUUGAGAAAGCGAGCGCCUCUUCGAUUGAUUCGGAGAACGAUGCCUCAUCGAUUUUUGAGAAAGCAAUCAUGCUGGGGUCUGGCUCUCGAAGAUUCGGGAAGCAGUGUCUCUUCGAUUUUUGAGAAAGUAAUCAUGUUGGGAGUCUGGCUCUCGAGAUUCGGAGGGCGGUGCCUCUUCGAUUUUAGAGCAAGCAAUCUUGUUGGGAGUGUUUUCUCGAAUGUGAGUAAAGGUUGGGCAUGUUUGCUAGUCUACCUUGCCACGAAGCACAGAGGUUGACACACAGGGACUUUCCAAUUAUCCAGCAAUGGUACUAUUCCUUUACCCUCUCUUCGAUUUUUAAGAAAGUAGUCAUGUUGGGAGUCUGGCUCUCGAGAUUUGGAGGACGGUGCCUCUUCGAUUUUGGAGCAAGCAAUCUUAUUGGGAGUGUUUUCUCGAAUGUGAGUAAAGGUUGGGCAUGUUUGCUAGUCUACCUUGCCACGAAGCACAGAGGUUGACACACAGGGACUUUCCAAUUAUCCAGCAGUGGUAUUGUUCCUUUACCCUUGUGGGUAAUAAUAUGGUAGCUAGACCUUCAAAAUUUAUGGGUCUAAACUUUGUUAGUGCUGUUUCUUUGCUAUUCUUUUACCCUUCUUGGUCAGAGCGAUGUAGUGGGAGCUGCAAGCUUCACGUGCUCAACUUUGGCAGAGAAACUUUGGCAAAGUUAUCUGUGGUACCCGUGAGCUAUUGUUGCGUGUGGGAAGUGGGUGAUUGAACAGUAAGAUUCAUGUGUUUUCUACUUCCCCAGAAGUCUUCGACAGAAUGCCCAUAAUUUCCGCAAAGCUGAGUGUGCGUGUGACAGGUGCUGACAAGGCUGGAAAAGUAGGUGCCUCUUCGAUUUCUGAGAUCGGCCCUCGUGGUCUCUGGGGAGCCCAGCUUUUGAGAAAGCGAGCGCCUCUUCGAUUUCUGAGAUCGGCCUUCGUGGUCUUUGAGCAGCCCAACUUUUGAGAAAGCAAACGCCUCUUCGAUUUCUGAGAUCAACCCUCGUGAUCUCUAAGCAGCCCAACUUUUGAGAAAGCAAACGCCUCUUCGAUUUCUGAGCAGGCGCCUCUUUCGAUUUCUGAAGCUCCGUCGAGUGCAGAUUUUUAUAGGGGCUGGCAUUAAGUUCCAAAGCACACUUGAAUCUCCACCAGUAGAAGCUUCCUUCUUGCACUUCUAAGAUCUUGAUUUGUCCGACCUCUUCUCUCUUCAACACCUUUGAAAAUGUCUGGCCCCUCCGAUCGUCGUUUUGACUUGAACCUUGUUGAAGAGGCAGCCCCGCCUUCUCCAGACAACAUAUGGCGCCCAUCCUUCGUCUCCCCUACUGGUCCUCUUACCGUUGGGGAUUCUGUGAUGAAGAAUGAUAUGACCGCUGCGGUGGUGGCCAGGAACCUUCUCACUCCCAAAGAUAACAGACUACUUUCCAAACGGUCUGAUGAGUUAGCAGUUAAGGAUUCGCUGGCUCUCAGUGUUCAGUGUGCAGGUUCUGUGUCUAAUAUGGCCCAACGCCUAUUUGCUCGAACCCGCCAAGUUGAAUCAUUGGCGGCUGAAGUGAUGAGUCUCAAACAGGAGAUUAGGGGGCUCAAGCAUGAGAAUAAACAGUUGCACCGGCUCGCACAUGACUAUGCUACAAACAUGAAGAGGAAGCUUGACCAGAUGAAGGAAACUGAUGGUCAGGUUUUACUUGAUCAUCAGAGAUUUGUGGGUUUGUUCCAAAGGCAUUUAUUGCCUUCGUCUUCUGGGGCUGUACCGCAUAAUGAAGCUCCGAAUGAUCAACCUCUGAUGCCUCCUCCUUCUAGGGUUCUGUCCAGUACUGAGGCUCCAAAUGAUCCCCCUCCGGUGCCUUCUCUUUCUGGGGCUCUACCGACUGCUGAGACUUCUCCUAAGCAACCUUUGUGAAGGCUCCCUCUUGUGUGUUUAUUUUGACUCAUGCAUAUGUACAUAUUUGUAGCUUAUCGAGGAUAUCAAAAUAAGCUUUCCUUCAUUUCAACGUAUUGUGUUAAAUACACCAAAGCCUUCUUCUCUAAGUUCUUUGAAUUUUCUUUUGUUGAAGCUUGUAUGUUGAAGCUUUCUGAGUGGAGCAUGUAGGUUGGGGUAGUGUUCCCUUAAUUUCCCGAGUGAGGAAAACUUCUCGGUUGGAGACUUGGAAAAUCCAAGUCACUGAGUGGGAUCGGCUAUAUGAAUCUUAGAACGCCAUUGUGCUCGAUCCUGUGUCAUGUCCUUCGUUAGAUCCAAGUACUCUAAGUCUUUUCUUAGAGUCUCUUCCAAAGUUUUCCUAGGUCUUCCUCUACCCCUUCGGCCCUGAACCUCUCUGUCCCAUAGUCGCAUCUUCUAAUCGGAGCGUCAGUAGGCCUUCUUUGCACAUGUCCAAACCACCGUAACCGAUUUUCUCUCAUCUUUCCUUCAAUUUCGGCUACUCCUACUUUACCCCGGAUAUCCUCAUUCCUAAUCUUAUCCUUUCUCGUGUGCCCACACAUCCAACGAAGCAUCCUCAUCUCCCGCUACACCCAUUUUGUGUACGUGUUGAUGUUUCACCGCCCAACAUUCUGUGCCAUACAGCAUCGCCGGCCUUAUUGCCGUCCUAUAAAAUUUUCCCUUGAGCUUCAGUGGCAUACGGCGGUCACACAACACGCCGGAUGCACUCUUCCACUUCAUCCAUCCAGCUUGUAUUCUAUGGUUGAGAUCUCCAUCUAAUUCUCCGUUCUUUUGCAAGAUAGAUCCUAGGUAACGAAAACGGUCGCUCUUUGGUAUUUCUUGAUCUCCGAUCCUCACCCCUAACUCGUUUUGGCCUCCAUUUGCACUGAACUUGCACUCCAUAUAUUCUGUCUUUGAUCGGCUUAGGCGAAGACCUUUAGAUUCCAACACUUCUCUCCAAAGGUUAAGCUUUGCAUUUACCCCUUCCUGAGUUUCAUCUAUCAACACUAUAUCGUCUGCGAAAAGCAUACACCAAGGAAUAUCAUCUUGAAUAUGUCAUGUUAACUCAUCCAUUACCAACGCAAAAAGGUAAGGACUUAAGGAUGAGCCUUCAUGUAAUCCUACAGUUAUGGGAAAGCUUUCGGUUUGUCCUUUAUGAGUUCUUACGGCAGUCUUUGCUCCUUCAUACAUAUCCUUUAUAGCUUGGAUAUAUGCUACUCGUACUCCUUUCUUCUCUAAAAUCCUCCAAAUAAUGUCUCUUGGGACCCUAUCAUACGCUUUUUCCAAAUCUAUAAAGACCAUGUGUAAAUCCUUUUUCCCAUCUCUAUAUCUUUCCAUCAAUCUUCGUAAGAGAUAGAUUGCCUCCAUGGUUGAGCGCCCUGGCAUGAACCCGAAUUGGUUGUCCGAAACCCGUGUCUCUUGCCUCAAUCUAUGCUCAAUGACUCUCUCCCAGAGCUUCAUUGUAUGACUCAUUAACUUAAUACCCCUAUAGUUCAUGCAAUUUUGUACGUCGCCCUUAUUCUUGUAGAUAGGCACCAAAGUGCUCGUUCGCCACUCAUUUGGCAUCUUCUUCGUUUUCAAAAUCCUAUUGAAAAGGUCAGUGAGCCAUGUUAUACCUGUCUCUCCCAAAAGUUUUCCACACUUCGAUUGGUAUAUUGUCUGGGCCUAUUGCUUUUUUAUGCUUCAUCUUCUUCAAAGCUACAACCACUUCUUCCUUUCGGAUUCGACGAUAAAAAGAGUAGUUUCUACACUCUUCUGAGUUACUCAACUCCCCUAAAGAAGCACUCAUUUCAUGUCCUUCAUUGAAAAGAUUAUGAAAAUAACCUCUCUCCAUCUGUCUUUAAUCGCGUUCUCUGUAGCAAGAACCUUUCCAUCCUCAUCCUUGAUGCACCUCACUUGGUUUAGGUCCCUUGUCUUCUUUUCCCUUGCUCUAGAUAGUUUAUAGAUAUCCAACUCUCCUUCUUUGGUAUCUACUCGUUUAUACAUAUCGUCGUAAGCCGCUAACUUAGCUUCUCUGACAGCUUUCUUCGCCUCUUGCUUUCGUUUUUCUAUACCUUUCACCAUUUUCAUCGGUCCUCUCCUUGUAUAAGGCUUUACAACAUUCCUUCUUAGCCUUCACCUUUGUUUGUACCUCCUCAUUCCACCACCAAGAUUCCUUUUGGUGUGGGGCAAAGCCCUUGGACUCUCCUAAUACCUCUUUUGCUACUUUUUCGGAUACAACUAGCCAUGGAAUCCCACAUUUGGCUAGCUUCCCCCUCUCUAUCCCACACACAUUGGGUGAUUACCUUCUCUUUGAAAAUGACUUGUUUUUCUUCUUUUAGAUUCCACCAUCUAGUCCUUGGGCACUUCCAAGUCUUGUUCUUUUGUCUUACUCUUUUGAUAUGUACAUCCAUCACCAACAAGCGAUGUUGAUUAGCCACGCUCUCUCCUGGUAUAACUUUGCAAUCCUUACAAGUUAUACGAUCCCCUUUCCUCAUUAGAAGAAAAUCUAUUUGUGUUUUUGACGACCCACUCUUGUAGGUGAUCACAUGUUCUUCUCUCUUCUUAAAGAAGGUGUUGGCUAAGAAGAGAUCAUAUGCCAUUGCAAAAUCCAAGAUAGCUUCCCCAUCCUCGUUUCUCUCCCCAAAACCAUGGCCACCAUGAAAACCUCCAUAGUUGCCUGUCUCCCUGCCCACGUGUCCAUUUAAAUCUCCUCCUAUAAAUAACUUCUCCGUCUGAGCAAUUCCUUGCACCAAGUCUCCAAGAUCUUCCCAAAAUUUCUCCUUCGAACUCGUAUCCAACCCUACUUGAGGUGCGUACGCACUAAUCACAUUGAUAAGUUCUUGUCCUAUUACAAUCUUGAUUGCCAUGAUUCUAUCUCCUACCCUCUUGACAUCUACAACAUGUUGUACCAAGGUCUUGUUCACGAUGAUGCCAACACCGUUUCUCGUUCUAUUUGUGCCCGAAUACCAAAGUUUAAACCCUGAGUUUUCUAGAUCCUUUGCCUUACUACCAACCCACUUAGUUUUCUUGUAGGCACAUAUAAUAUUUAUCCUUCUCCUCACCAUAACUUUCACUACUUCCAUAGAUUUUCCCGUUAAGGUUCCUAUAUUCCACGUUCCUAAACGCAUUUUGCUCUCUUGAACUCUACCCUUCUGUCCUAGCUUCUUCAUCCUCCCCCUAAUAGGAUCAAGGUACAACUUCUUUUUGUGUGUCCCGGGUAAAGUUGAUAGGAGCAUAUGCUCCCAAACAACUUUGAGUGGAGUCGUUCGAAAAAGAAGUUUCUAUGGCCCCUUGCUCAUUUAACACUGCAUCCGGGUGCCGAUGGAGAUGCCGAUGAGCGACCUACAGCUUGACCCUCUCACUUAUCACUGUGCUCGGGCCACACAGCGCGCCACUUACGGGUGACGCCCUAGCUUUAGCGCGAUUUUGUUCUGGAUUCAUUUUCAUAAGGAUUCGACGUGAUCAUGGAGUGCCGGCUGUCGACUACCUGACGCCCUCCCCCUCCUCCUUUAUCCGGGCUUGGGACCGGCCAUGUAAGACAUGGGCGGAGUUACUUUCAAUCUAUACAUGUGUAAAAUCUUUUCUUGUGCUUAUAUAAAUUUUUUGUAUUGUAACGCGCUUUCUGUGUCAAACGUCGCCGAUAUUUUUCUCCAUGGGAAUGAGUGGAAGGUCCUCCUCCUCCUCCUCGAUGCGGUUUUUAAUUGCAGCUUUUAUUGUUUUUAGCUUAUCCCCUCAAACGAUUUGUAACGCCACCCAGCUAAAGUGUACCUCUUCCUGCGGCCAUAUCCGCAAUAUAAGCUACCCUUUUUGCGGCAACUCAGGAUACACUCUGUCUUGUGAGAGCAACAAAACCAUACUAAACAUACCUUCAUCUGGCGAUUACUACGUACAGGCAAUCAACUACCAUAACCAAACAAUCCGACUUGUCGAUCCGGGCCUUGACAAGAGCAAUUGCUCCUCCCUUCCUCUUCAUUCUCUGUCUCUUCCUUAUGAGUAUUUCCAAAUUCCGACGACACCUGGGAAUUGUACAGCAUCAUCAACAGAUUCAUCAGCGAUAUGUACGGAAAUUGGCACAACAAAUUUAACAUUUUUGAAGUGUCCGCGUCCAAUGAAUUCAUCUCUUUACGUGGACGCUGCUCCAUGUUUUCCUGUUGAAUCUGCUUCUACUUCAUCUUCGUCGAUGUCGUCAUCCCAACCAAAAUCGUAUGGCUAUGUCAAGAUUGGAUCUUUAGAGGUAGGGCAGAUGAAAGACGGUUGCAGCAUAGAGCGAACGACUUAUGCCUACUUGUUCGACGGCUACAACGCUUCUUAUAAAUCCAUACACAAUUCUCUGGUUUAUGGAUUUGAGCUUCAAUAUAUCCGAGAUGGUCCCUUUUCCUGCAGAAACCCAUGGUGGAAUUUCAAGUGGGAUUUCGAGUGUUAUCCGCACAGCGUUCGAGGUGAGUAGGGAAUAAAUCUCAAUUUUCUUUUUUACUUCAUUAUCAUCUUUUGUAGGAAAUUCAUUUCUAUAAAAUAAAUAAAAUUAAAAUUAAAAUUGCAGGGCCAUGGUCAUCCUUUGUAAAAAAUUAUUUUUAAAUAAAAAUGUCAGACCAAAUUCAUAUAUUAUCUUUAAUUGAAGAGGCUUCUUAAUAAUUUAUCAUUUUUAAACUUAUACUUUAAAUUUAUUGAUUAAUUUAAAUAAACUACUUGUUUUUUAAAUUUAGUCAUUGAAUUUGAAUCAAUUAUUACAACUAAGUAGUUGGCACCAAAAAAGGCUAAGAAGAGGGCUACAUUUGGCCAGUUUGUCAUUUUUAAGCUUGUGGACCAUUGGAGAUGGCCAAAUAUAUUAGACAAAGAAAUAACAAGUUUGAGCAAGUGACCAUUUACCACAGUAAUAAAAAUAUGUUGUGCUCUUACAUGAUAACAUGAGGUUCGAAUCAUGUCAAUGACAUAUAUAACCUUUACCUUACUAAUGUAAAAAAAAUAAAAAAAUAAAGUUUGAAAUUUUAAUUUAAAAUCAACUGGUGUGGGCCAAGUAUUUUACAUUUUUCCCUCUUUGUCACCGCAGGUUUUUUUCAAUUUCUAUGGGUGCUGAUUCAAUGUAAGAGAUCUAUCCAUGGGAGCUUAUAUGACAUUUAAUUUAUCCUCUAUUUCGAGAGUUCUUAUAUUCCUUUUGAAUUGGUUUGACCCUUGGCUUCUUCCACCCCUUCAUCUAGAGGUGCUACUUUCUAGAGAACGUGUCUUUUCAAUUUGAAUUGAGAUCCAAAUAUUCAGAACAUGUUGUGUAGUCUAAAAGCAUCUCUAAAGAGGUCAAAUCCAAAAUAUCAAAGUAUUUUAAAAAAAAUAUUUAAAUAUUUGAUGAAUUUUUAUAUAAAACUGUUGUGGUUAUGUUAAAUGAUUAAAAAUGAUAUAAUAUUAAUGUCAAAUUAUUUUUGUGGUACAUGUGAUAUGUCAUUUUCAAUGUGAUCUUUGUUGUGAAAAAACUAUUAAUUAAACUCCCGUGGUGAGCCCUAUUAACAAUUGAGGUCCAAAUCUAAAGUUCUGUUAGUCUUCCGUUAGAUAAAAUCAUGUGACUAUCAUAUGUGGAUCGGUCAAAAUUAAGUUUAUUUAUUUUGAAAAAUAAAAAGACAAAAACAUGAUUGAAUUAAAAUAAAAAAAAAUGUAAAGAUAGAAAAACCCAGUAGUUAGACACUAAAUUAUACUAAUUUCAGUAAACCCUAAAUUAUACUAAAUGUUCAUUGAAUAAGAUGUAAUUUGGUUUGAAAUGAUGAAUUUGACACUUCAUGUGAUAGUUAUGUGAGUUUAUUUAACAGAAGACUAACGAAAAUUUAGAUUUCGAUCUUAAUUGUUAACAAGGCCUACCACGAGGGCUUAAUUAAAAACUUUUUCAGCAAGAGGGUUACAUCGAAAGUGGUGUGUCAUCACAUGAUCACAAAAAUAUUUGGACUAAUAUUAAAUUAUUUAUUUAUUUAUUAUUUGUUUAUUUAUUUUAUUUAUUUAUAAUCUCUCCCACUUUCACUCUCUUUCCUCUCCCUCAUUUUCUCCGCCGCUAUUCCUCCCUCAUCUCAACUUCACUGGAUCUUCGAGAGCAACACCGUCGUCAGUGUUGGCAUGGCCACCGUCAACAUCUCCACCCACAACUUCGAGGCCGGCGCCUCCAUUCUCCACCCCAGGAACUUGCACGCUUUUGAACUACACCAAGCUCCUCAACUUCGCCGUCAAAAGCCCCUCCUCCUCCUCUUCUGCACUUCAAAUCAAAGCUUCCCUUUGCUGAUAAGAUUGUUUUGCUUUCCAAUUCACUCGUCAUGCUCUUCAGAUACGGCUUCUCCCUUGUCAGGAUGGACAAGGUUGUUGAGGUAUAAAAGUAAAUAAAUAAAAGGUUUGUUUAUUGAGUUUUAACUUAGGGUUUUGUUAUUGAAUUGGUAAAUUUCUUUGUGGUGCAGAUAAGAUUGUUUGGCAUCUUAUUAAUUUAUUGGGUGUUAAUUUGGUGAAGUCCUUGCCUAUGAGAAUCAUCAAUCCUGCUACUGAAGAAAUCAUGGUCCUUUUCUCACCCUAAGCAUUUCUGUCAAUUAAAUUAAUUUCUGGGUUGUUUUUUAAAUUUAAUUACUGUUUAAUCAUUGCAUUUGAUCGUGUGUAGGAUCUAGAAGGAGGAGAGGGAUAGUCGUUGGUGCAGUGGUGGUGGUCGGUGUUGAGCGGGAGUGGGAGGGACGGCGGCGGUCCUAGGGACAAGGACUCAUUUUGAAAAACUAACGAGGGUGUAGGAAAGUUUCAUUAAACAUGCACUGUUGCUCUGCAUGUUUUGGAAAAGGGCUAGAUUUUCAAAGCUAUGUUUUGCUGCUUGAGCUUUUAGUCUUUUUUUUCACCCUCAAUUUAAAAAAGCUGGUUUUAGAGUGUUUACCAAACACUAAAAAGACCCCAAUUUAUCUUCAUACCUGCAUUUUUUUUUUUAAUUUCAGCUGUACCAAACUGGUACUAAGAGCCACAGACUUUCUUUAAUUACACUAUAUUUUUGUUGCACCUUACAAGAGUGGUAUUUAAUCAAUCACAUAAACAUGUACCUAACAAAUAAUAUAGUGCAUCCUCUAUGGAUAUGAAAAACUGCAACAAAUUUCAAUGUUAAUCCAGGUGUGCGUAGGAGCGAUAUGUUUGUAACUACCUCCAGGGUAUAUGUAUGAUGGCUCAUCAGAAAUUUUUGAAUGAUGGCUUAUCAGAAAUUGGAAACCAAAAUAGCUCCCAUAAUUGAUUAGGGGCUAUAUCUAUGAUGGCUUAACAGAAAUUUUUAUCUAUAAUAAUGCUUUGCACUUCGAAAACUAGCUAGUUAUUUCUCAUUGAUUUUGUUAAUAUAUCUUCUUGUAUUUCUUGGGUAUUUAAUGUUCUUCACAAUAUUCACUUUACAAAGUUCAAGCUCUAGUCAAGUUUGAUUUACUCUUCGUUCUGUUCUAAACGCAGAUCUUCUACGGCCCGGGCUCGUACUCGAAUAUUUCGGUAAGAGCUUUGCUGAUAUAUAUGAUAUCCAAUAUUGAGCAUAUACAUUUUUUUUUUUUGGUAAAUAUUGAGCAUAUAUACUUUGAUUCAAGGCAACAAGUCAAUUUCUUUUCUCAUGAUGUUUUUUGUGAUUUACUCCAAUGUUCAGUACUAUCUGUCGGGGCAAAAUUUCUACUUGGGGCACCAUUCGUGACUGCGUUUUUGAUCUAUACAUGGAAAAGAAGACAUUUGUCAAUGUACAACUCCAUAGAAGAAUUUUUGCAUGGUGAAAAGACUUUAGUGCCAAUAAGGUACUCGUACUCGAACAUCAAGAAGAUGUCUAACAAAUUUAAAGAAAAACUUGGUGAAGGAGGGUAUGGAUCAGUUUUUAAAGCAAGGUUACGGAGUGGACGUUUUGGGGCAAUUAAGAUGUUGGAUAAGCCCAAAGGCAAUGGACAAGAUUUCAUCAGCGAGGUAAAUACGAUUGGGAGGAUUCACCAUGUUAAUGUGGUUCAGCUUGUUGGUUAUUGUGUUGAAGGAACAAAGCAUGCUUUGGUAUAUGACUUCAUGCUCAACGGAUCUCUUGAUAAAUACAUUUAUUGCAAAGAAGGAAGUAUCCCAUUAAGUUGCAAGACAACGUACGAGAUUGCACUUGGAGUGGCCCGAGGGAUCAAAUAUCUACAUGAAGGUUGUGACAUGCAAAUUUUACAUUUUGACAUCAAGCCUCACAAUAUUCUUCUUGACGAGAAUUUCGUACCAAAGAUUUCUGACUUUGGGCUGGCAAAAUUAUACCCGGUAGAUAAUAGUAUUGUGUCUCUAACAGCAGCAAGGGGUACAAUGGGAUACAUGGCUCCUGAGCUAUUCUACAAGAAUAUUGGCGGUGUUUCGUUUAAAGCGGAUGUUUAUAGUUUUGGAAUGUUGUUGAUGGAAAUGGCAAGCCGAAGGAAGAAUUUGAAUGCAUUGGCAGAGCAUUCAAGCCAACUUUACUUCCCGUCAUGGGUUUACAAUCAAUAUAAUGAAGGAAAAGACUUCGAGGUGGGAGAAGUUGUGGAGGAGGAAAAACCAUUAAUAAGAAAAAUGAUUAUAACCGCCUUGUGGUGUAUACAAUUGAAGCCAAGCGAUCGACCAUCAAUGAAGGAAGUCCUACAGAUGCUCGAGGGAGAUGUUGAAUUGCUUCGAAUGCCUCCGGAGCCUCUUCUAUAUCCACAAGAGAUGCCCGUAGGUGCUCCUAAUGAUAAUCCGAAUCCAUCAUAUUCCAAGGUGGAGUUAACAUCUUCUUUGACGGGUAGGUGAAGACACGCAACUAGCAUGGACUCUGUCAGUUUGAAUCUCAAUGCAAUGUUUCUGGUUUUGUAGUCGUACUGUGUGCAUGUACAUUGAAUGUUAAAACUCCCUUUCAGUGAUGUUAAAUAUGUUGUUUAGUACAACAUAUUUUCAUGAUUCCAGGGAUAAAUAACAUAUUUCAUGAAGGACAUGUUGUAUGAUUCAUGAAGACGAUAUUUUCUAAUUUUUGUUCCAAGAAAUUAUUAGUUGUGAUGAUUGUUCGCUCGUGCUGGUAAUUCUGGUUCUCAUGGGCUCACGCUGGCUGCUCUUACAUAGCUCCGGUUGUUAUUUGUCCGUGUAGGGAGGGACCUCCCUAGUCAAUAUCGAAAACCUUUUUUUUUUUUCUUCUUGUGAGUACAACAAUAUUUUUACACUAAGGGAGGGCGGUUCGUCUAUGCCACACAAUGGACAACCUAAUUUGGUAUCGAAUUUUCCAUCUACAAGAUUCGGACCUAAGACCUCUUACUUACAAGCGAAGAGGAAUAUACUGAGUGGCAAUAUUCGAAACCUUUUAGUUUGCCAAGUCAUUUCUUAGUUAGAAGUUUUUUAAGAGAGUUGAGGUUCCACCGUAAAACCAAUUGGUAACAUGAGAGUAGUCUAAUUACUUAUAAGCACAUGUAAGGUCUCUUCUUUCUCCGACGUGGAAUUCAUUUUCUAAAAAAUUUGUCUGAGAAUCCCUCCUUUUCUAUUUGAAAUGCUGCCUGCUCUGUACUGUGCAACCAGUUUAUAGCUUUGGUGGAGGACUCAGCCUCAUUAUAAUUUCCUAAGAUUCUUGAACGUAAUGUCUAUCACUCGCUGGAGCAUCAUUGUGAUUGUAAGCCAAAUGGAAGAUUUGUUGAUCACAUCCUUGGUGAAGAUAUUCAAUUCCUUUGGCAAAUGGCUACAUCUUGCAGCUUAUCCCACAUGCAGUGAUCUAAUGAACAACAGCUCGUCUAAAUCCAUAAACGCAGAGCCAACCAAGGGAAUAGCAUGGUUGAUAUGACCCAUUGUUCCCCCUUUAUUUAUGAACUCUUCCCGAUCUCCCCUUCCAAUUGUAUAAUAUCUUGUGGUUCACCGCCUCGUAUUUCGGAUACAUUGAAAUAUCUCUAAUUUCUUAGAACUAUUGAGAAUCAACAGAAGAUAGCUUUCCUUUAAAAACAGUUCCACAUAUAGGCUCCUAGGCCUAACUUGUCUAUGAACUGAAUUGUAAUCCCCUUACUAUCGGGAUACGAAUACCUGCUCGGUUUGAGAGCCUUGUAAUCCUCCAAAAAUCUUUCAAUUUUUAAUCAAUUCACUCUCAUUUUCUUUUAUAUCGGAGCAAUAUACUUGAUAUGCUGCAACAAGUAGUAAUACAACUAAUGAUUCCAGGGAUGCACCUGUAAAUUAAACCUGGAGUAAAUAUUUCCAGGGACACCCGAAUCAGAAAUUUAUUUUGCCUGGUUUUUGAGUUUUUAGGAUAAAUCACUUUUAUUUUCACGUACAAAUCUUUCCGUUGCACAAAAACAUUCGCUAGAGACCAAGGAUCUAGAGUUGGGCCCUUAUCCCCACACUUGAAUUCUUUGCAGGUAUUUUGGGUUUCUCCAUGCACUUUGGAGAUGAAGAGUAAGAUUAAGUAAAAGGAAGAAAUGAGAGUUUUCUGCACUUUUGAGGUCAUACUAUUGCUCAUGGAUUUGUUUUUGAGAUGAACAAACUAUCAGUAUCUGGAUGGAUAUGCAUGUGCCCAAUCCAAUAUCAACAUGUCGGAGAAAAUUAGUUAAGUUGGUCAAGGCACCGGCACCGUAAGGUUUUGGUUCAAUAAAACUGAUGUGUAAAUUUUAAACACAUGAUAUUAUUUUAGGGCACUUUAACGGAAAGUUCCUGAUGAUACUGUUCACUUUAACAAAAAAACCACAUUUUUACACUAAAAAAUCAAUCAUGGUACUAUUCACUUUACCCUUUAUUUAAAACUUAAAGUUUUCAAACUUUUUUCAUUAAUUUUCCUAUUAUUUUAUAGGUCAGGCUAUCAUCACCUUGUCAGUGCUCCCAUUCAAUAUAAGUGGCAUCAUUAGCUAGAGGGACUCAAUGAAACCGAUGUUUAGUCCAUAUGGUGUCACUGUCAAAUAAUAUCUCGCCAUGUGUUCAGAAAGUACUCUAUCCAUCCGAUGAGUGACGGACAUAUGGUGAAUGGUGUGUGAGAAAAUCUCUCCAUUAGCUGAGAGGAUUAUGGAAAAGAGAAAAUUGCAUAAACAGUACUUGGACAUUUUCACCUUUGUGCAUCUAGCGUCCAAACUAAUAAAAUUACUUGACUACCCAUACAUUUCGACAAUACUAGAAAUUGCUAUCCGCGUGUUGAUGCGGGAUAAAGAAUUGUAAGAAAUAUUAUGUAUGAAAGAUAUAAAAAUUUGCUCAUUGUGAUAGAAGAUUAAUAAUAUUUACAUUGAAAACAUUAGAAAGAUGUUCAUGUACCAAAGAUUAAAUCGAUAAAGCUGACGUACAAAAAAUCAUAGCUCAACGUAAUACAACUUUUCAUAAAAAAUUUGACUAAACCAAAAACCAAACACAUGAAAGUCAAACUUUGAGAUCCAAUUAUCUUCCCAAGCUUCAAAAUCGAAUUCAAUCAACUUAAUUACACUGACAAAUCAAUAAUAUCAAAAUCAGCUAGGACCAACUCAAACAACCCAACACCCCCACAUCAACACACACAACUAAUACAGAAUCUAUUUGACCUCAUAAAAAUGAAAGGAAAACUAAUGAAAAAGGCUUGAAAACUUUGAGUUUUAAUCAAAAUGACAAAAAUGUGUUGUAUGUGAAUAGUGUCAUGAGUGAUUUUUUAAAGUAAAAUUGUCAUUUUUUCGGGAGUGUUUUGUUAAACUCCCAAAAAUGAAAUAUGCAGAGGAAUAGAACAUUUUCCAAAGUAUAAAAUCCAAACGAAAUUUCUGACCUCUCCUCCUUGAGCAUUUUCAAACACUUCCUUGCAAAUUGAAUUGGCAACACACCGUUGAUGUUGUUGAUGUUGAUAUGUAGCUGUUUAUCCAAGGAAAACAAAAAAUAAAAACAAAUUGAAAGACAGUUAUUUAGCGAGAGUCGAUAAUAUCAUUUUUGCCUUAAGAGAAGCAACAUAGAAAUAUACAACUAACUAAAAAUAAAUUUUUACAGAAAUAUCUCCCAAAAUAUGUGGAGCUACCUGAUUAAGUGGGUUCUUUGGCGUUCCAUACUCAGCAGCUAGAAAACCAAAAACAUGUCAUGCAUUGCAGAGAAGGUUAAUGGGAUAAACGUCAAGUUCAUCAAUCAUAUUUGCAUGAUAGAAGCUGCUGGAAUAAAUUCAAUCAUAUUCAUUAUCCAAUCUAGAAAAUUUAAAAUGUAAACAUACAAAAGAUAUACAUAUAUAUUAUAUUUCUGUCUUUGAUAAGUGCUUUGCAGACAAUCACACUUUUUUUUCUCUUAUUUUGAAAGAAGUAUAUUGUCUGCAAUUUUAUUAAAGUAAAUAAAAUAAUAUAAUAUUAGAACAAUGCCCUUAAACUAUGAACAUUUAAUGUGGAGAAAUUGGAAGUUGAAAUAAGUCGAAUACGACAUAAGACAGAGGAGAAAAUUCAAAGAAUAUUGUGAUCAAAAUCGGAACUCAGUGAGAGUUCAACAGAAAGAUCAAUGGAAAAUGCACUCACACACCAACUUGAAAGAAAACCUAGUGUCAAAUCAUUGUGUCAGAAAUAGAAAAAUGCAAACUUUAUAUGGAAAAUGAAGAUUUACUUGCAGACUGGCAGCAACAAAAGCAAACGGAAUACAACAGGAGUUACUGCAAUAGUGAGAGGGAGGAAGAGAGAUUAAAGAUGAGUGAUCAGUUAAAGCUAUAAUUUUUCAAGCAUGUUCUGCAAUAUGAAUCAUUUAGCUAUCACAAUAACAUGCUUGAAAUAAACAAUAUGCUUGGAAUAAACAAUUUUUCAAGCAUGAUUGAAAUAAACAAUAUGCAUAAUUGUGGUAUUAAAAAAAAUGCAAUAUCACCAACAUUCAUGAUCAUUAUCCGGAAUUGUUAAAGUAAAAAAGAAAAUCAAAUUAACAUCUCUCUAAUCUAUCUUCCUAUUGUAUUUUGAUAAGGUUUAUACCAAACAAUGUUUCCACCAAAAUUUAUUAGCAAAAAGAUCACAGUAGAAGUUAACAUGAGAGAAAGAGUUGACCUCUACCUCUUAUAUGUUGAUCCUACCAAUCCCCGGCAUACUUGAUCUCUUUUAAGUCCACCUGUAAAAAGAAAAAAAACACAAAAUUUGUAACACAAUUUGAACAAAAAGAGAGUUCUCAAUUAGAGAAAACUUCAAUUUCAUGUAAAGAAAUUGUGUUCUAAAUUCAAGGCUUAACUAUGCAAUAUUGGGAUUUGUGUUUAGCUCAAAUAAGUAAGAUGAAAUGAUAAGGAAGUUUCGUCCGGCUGGAAGACGUUAAAGCAAGCGCUUCUUGGGAGGCAACUCAUGUAUUCAAAUAAGGAAGGUUUUUUAAUUGCUCCACAAUCAAUUUUGCGUUUCUAUAAACCUUCCCUUUUCUGUAGUUUUAUUUUGCCAUGAUUGUCAUUUUUAUUUGUUGCUUGUUUAAUUGUUUUUUGUGUGGGUUUAUUUUUUUUGAAACACUGACAGUUAUGCAAGGUAUUUUUACAUUCAUAAAAAAGAAGGGAACAUUAAGCAGAUAAAUACAAGAGGAAGCCUUCACAAAGGCUACUUAGGAGAAAUCUUAGUAGUCGGCGGAGCCUCAGCAGUCGACGGAGCCCCAGAAGAAUGAGGCAUUGGAGGUUGAUCAUUUGGAGCUUCAUUACGCGGUACAGCCUCAGAAGACGAAGGCAAAUGUUGUUGGAACAAACCCAUAAACCUCUGAUGAUCAAGUAAAAUCUGACCAUCAGAUUCCUGCAUCUGGUCAAUCUUCCUCUUCAUGUUUGUAGCAUAGUUAUGUGCGAGCCUGUGCAACUGUUUAUUCUCAUGCUUAAGCCCUCUAAUCUCCUUCUUGAGACUCAUCACUUCAGCCGCCAAUGAUUCAACUUGACGGGUUCGGGCAAAUAGGCGUUGGGCCAUAUUGGAUAUGGAACCUGCGCACUGCACACUGAGAGCCAGAGAAUCCUUAACAGCCAACUCAUUAGACCGUUUGGCAAGUAGUCUGUUAUCUUUGGGAGUGACAAGGUUCCUAGCCACCACCGCAGCUGUCAUAUCAUUCUUUAUCACUGAAUCCUCAACGGUAAGGGGACCAGUAGGGGAUAUGAAGGAUGGGCGCAAUAUGUUGUCUGGAGAAGGCGGGACUGCCUCUUCACCAAGGUUCAAGUCAAAACGACGGUCGGAGGGACCAGACAUUUUCAGAGGUGUUAAAGAAAGAAGAGGUCGGACAAGUCAAGAUCGUAGAAGUGCAAGAAGAGAGUUUUUACAUGCAAAAAUUCAAGUGUGCUUUGAACGUCCUAUGUACCUCUAUAAAAAUCAGCACUCUAUGGGAUUUCAGAGAUCGAAGAGGCGAGCUCAGAAGUCGAAAAGGCAAACUCAAAAAUCAAAGAGGCGCUAACUUUCUCAAAAGCUGGGCUUGCUCAGAAACCACGGCCAAUCUUCUUUUCCAUAUUUGUCCGCACUUGUCACAUGCAACCUUUGCACUCGACGGGAUUUCAGAGAUCGAAGAGGCAAGCUCAGAAAUCGAAGAGGCAUCUGCUUUUUCAGACGUGUCAGCAUCUGUCACAUGCAGAGUCAGCUUUGCGGAAAUCACGGGCAGUUUUUCGAAGCGCUUUUCCAGACAUGUCAGCAUCUAUCACAUGCAGAGUCAGCUUUGCGGAAAUCACGGGCAGUUUGUCGAAGCAUCAAUUCCAGAUAUCGAAGAGGCACUUGUUUUUCCAGACGUGUCAGCACCUGUCACAUGCAUACUCAGCCUUGUGGAAAUUACGGGCAAUCUGUCGAAAAUCUCUUGUGAAGUAGAAAGCACGUGAAGUUUACUAUUAAAUCAUCCAACGGUUGCUGACAAGAGUGAAAGAAUAGUACCGGUUAUUAAUUCCUAUAAAUGUCACCCUUCACCCUCCAUUGAAAGGCAGACAUACAUAACCCUUAUUCUUCUCCGAUAAUGCCUUUCCAACAAACCAUCUCGAGUCACUCAGUGUUCCUUAUUCCUUGGGGUACCUCUGCAAACAACUCAUCCAAAACAAAAGUAUUUCAUAUCAUGAAGGUUGAAAGCAAGAGUAUCUCAUAUCAUGCUUUCUCCCUGUCCUUCUCCUUGUCGUUGUUUUGGGACAAGGAGAAAGAGAGCAAUCAGCCAGCACUUGGUAUCAAUCUUCCGAUCUGGAACUGACUGCCUAGAACCCAUUCCUGAUUGCUUACCUAGCCUUGCUCUCGAGUACUCAUCUUCAUCAUUUUAUGCUUCCUCUUCGUCUACCACAUCUGCCUGGGGAACAGAUAAGGGAAGUGAAAAUGAUACCUCGAAGCAUAUGGAGACAAUUUGCCAAUUCAUCCUCAGCUAGGGACAAGGAGAAAGAAAGCAAGAGGUAGGCACUUGGAAAGAUUGAAUAAAGAAACAGACCAACACCUCUACCUCGUGCCUGCCUGCCGUGCAGAAGAAACAAGCAGAGAAGAAUGCAGACUGCACAAUCAAAUCAACCCAACAGAAGGAGUCUGAUUUGAAACCAAGGAACUCUGAUAUUCCUCGCUCAGAAUUCCAAACCAGUUCGAGAUCAAAGCUGUGGAAAGUCAACAAGAUCAUCUAUCUCCAAAACCAGAUUUGCGUUCUUAAACUCUACUUUGUCUGUUUUUUUUUUACUUUGCUAUAUUUGUCAUGUUUAUUCGUUGUUUGUUUAUUUGCUUGUUUUUGUGUGAGUUUAUGCUUGAAACAUUGAGGACAAUGUUUGAUUUAAGUGUGGGGGGGGGGGGGUAACCAUUGUUUUGCAUGAAAUUCUUUGCAUGAAAUUUGUAGGAGUUUAUCACCCAUUACUUCUAGUGUUGUUCCUUGCUGUUUUAAAUGUUUUUAAGCUGUUUUGGAGUGUUUUAGUGUGUUUUGACAUAAAAAUCUGAAAAUCUCAUAAAAAUUUGAAAAAUUGUUUUGAAAAACCCAAAAAGAGUUGUUUUUGUAUGUUUAUUUGUGUCUUAGGAUACCUUCCAACACAAUGAUGAGGAUUUGGUUUUUAAUUACAUGACUGUUAAAGAGUGUUAUAAACAUGGAUGAAAAUUUGAUUUACUCUUUGGUGUAUGCUUGGUUGUGGUUAUAAUUUAUUAAUUCACAUGCAAUCAUAAAAGGAAAAAUCAGUUUUUUUUGUAACAUGCUUGAAAGAAGGAACUCAAACUAACGUUACAUCCUUGAGAGACUUGGGCCUAAACAUUUAUUUGGAGAGUUAUUAAUCUGUGCAAUUUUUUUUGUUUUCUAAAGUCGUUGCAUGAUCUCAUUAUUCUUUGCUUGGUUGCUACUUAGAAGGCGUUUCAUCAUUUAGUUCCAAAUGCUAGAACUCAUGCCUAUUUCAUUCAAAGCAUGUUAUUGAUUUGCAUAACACAUAUUCAAGAUGAAGUUGUUUAGUGAGCCAAGAGCCAAAAAGCCUAUCCCGUUCAUUAUGUGUUUAAGUUUAACCCUGUUGAGCCUUGUGUUGCCUAUGUUCUUUGUUACCCACACUAUCCUCACCUAGCCUAGAUUAGGACCAUCCAUACCCUUGUUCUUGAAGCAUAGUAAAGCAUAAUUUAGAAGGAAUUCAUUUUGUUGAACUCUUGCAGAAAAACAAGUGUGGGGGAAGUGAUUCUUGUGUGUGUGUGUGUCAAAGUCCUUCAUAAGGCACAUGUAGAAAAGGAAAAGGAAAAGAAAAAGAAAAAAUCGUGGAAAAUAGAAUGAAAAUAAGAAAAGUUGUGAAAGAGUUGAAAAUUUUAUGAGAAAGAACUCUAAAGUGUUGUUUGUUGAAGAAAUGGUCCAAAGCAAUGAAUUCGACCCUAAGUGUUGCAUGAAUCUUCCCUUUGUGUUUAAAUGUUGAUUUUUGCAUUCUAAAGUAAAUUCCAAGUGUCGAUUCCAUUACUUUGCUUGUUAUCGCUUUAAGAACGUUUGUUAUUCCUAUCCUUUCUUUGUUAGCCAUUACCCCCAAGCCCUAUUACAACCCUUGACUUCAAUCUUGAGUGUUGUGUGUUUCAGUUUGUGGAGUUUGAAAUUGAUAUGAGCAUAUGGUGUCACUGGUUCUCGCAUCUAAGUAGUAGCAUUCCAUUCAUGAGAUCAUAUAUAUACAUGAAUUAAUAAUUCCAGAAAUUGCUUCUUUGUUGAAAAACAUAUGUGAGUACUAAUUUUCAUGUUUACAUCAAUCUUCUCACUAUACCUAGUAUAGGGAGUGUAGUCAGAAAUUCUUGUGUGAAAAUAAGAGUGUAUCUAGUAAGGAAUUGAGGAAAUUCUCUAAGGCAUGUUACUAUAUUCAAAAUGCUGUUUUAAUUAAUUAAAUGUGAGUUAGUGAAUGGUGACUAUGAUUAAGUAUGCUCGAGGGUAAGGAAUGCUUAAUUCUAUGUAAGUGGUGAUCUUUGGCAUGUCAUGUUUCAUUGAAAAUCCCUUAGGCAAAUGUUGGAAGGUUAGGUUAUGUUUUGUUUGUUUUGUUUCGUUUUGUUUCUUUUGUUUUGCUCGAGGACUAGCAAAAGCUAAGUGUGGGGGAAUUUUAUAGGAGCAUAUUUAUGCAACUUAGUUAGCUUGUUCUUGUGCAUUUGUGUUGUUAUUUCUUAGUUAAUUAUGUAUUUUAAGCUAUUUUCGUGUGUUUGUAGGUCAUAAUAUCAAAGUUGACAAGAAAGUGCAUUUUGGAGCAUUUUAGAGUAUUUUUGAGCCAAGAUUGGAUAGUGCAAGCAUGGAGACAUGAGGAUGGACGUUUUUUGAAGAUUUGAAAGCUAGAAAUUAGCAUGUGUGUGUGCAAGUGUGUUGACCUACAACUCUAAACAUCCACCCACUACACCCAUUACAUCCACUCAUUACCAAACACUCAUCCAAUACACCCAUUACAUCCACUCAUUACCAAACAUCCACUCACUACACCCAUUACAUCCACUCAUUACCAAACACUCAUCCAUUACACCCAUUACAUCCACUCAUUACAACUUCAUACACUCAUCUCCCUAGCCUAUAAAUACAUCCACCCUUCACCAUAAUUUGGAAGAGCCUUCAUCCAAACACAUCCAUUUAUCUUCACAUUCAUUCCUCCAUACAAACAAACCUUCAAACACUCAUCAACACCUUGUGCCGUAGCAAAGGAAGGGAAGGAAAGUGCUUGGACGUGCUUGCUGUCCAACUUGGAUUUUUGGAGCGUUUAGGUGUUUUCUUUCUUUUGUUUUUAAUGUUUAAAUUCAUUUCCUUUCGUUUUGUUGUAAAUAUGAGUGGCUAAACCCCUUUUGGCUAGGGGUGAUUUCAAAGCCAUGAUUAUGUGUGUAAUAUGAUUUGAUAAAUUCCAGUUAUGAACUCUUGAAUCGUAAAUGCAAUUGGCUUAACUAUUUGAUUGAUAACUUAUUUGUAUUUGUUAAUUAAGGGUCGACACUUAAUUGGCAUGCAUAAAUCCGUUGCUAGAAUAUAAGGAAGUUUCACAUAAUCGUUACAAACUUAUAUUCACAUGUAGUCAAGGUCGCUUAUAAACGAUCGCGUUAAGUUCAAUUCCUAGCAUGAGUGACAUGAUGUCAUAAUUGCAAGUGCUUUGUCAAUGCUUAUGAUUUUCAUUAAACGUAAUGAUCUUUGAUUGUAUCUCUAUUAUGAUGUCAUGUAGGGAACUUUAGAAGAAUGUUUUGGGUUGUCGAAUGAUGUCAUCCAAUCCAAUAAAAACAAGGAAAAUCUGAGAGUUAAUUAGUGAUGUCACGGUUAAUUUGGAGCAUUGUCAUUCAUAAUUCAAUGAAGUAGUAAUUGGAAAUUGAGUUAUUUGCAUACAUGUCAUGUGUGGAGAAAAAUCUUGUAGCUAUCCUAUCCAUUAUCUUAUUUCUCAAAUUUGUUUUACAAUCUGUCUAGUUUUUCAUACUUGUUUGUUUGUUACAACUUCCUCCAAAUCAAAACCCCCACUUUUAGUUUCUUGUUUCAAAGUGUUUCAAAUCUGUUUUAGUUUGUGUUUUUAAGUGUUUUGAUUCAAGUAAAAGUCAAUUUUCGUCCAAAGUGAUUCCUAGUGUCUAGUUUAAGUUUAUUUGGUUGUUUUAAGCUGUUUUGAGUAUUUUAAAUUUGCUUUGAGUCUUGUGAGUCUUGUUAAGUAUUUUUAAGUUUAGUUUUAUGUUUUUAAGUCAAUUUAAAGGUUAUUAGCAAGCCCUUCUAAUCCCCGGUCCAGAACGAUCCCUACUUAUAGUUAAACUACAAUUGUCAAAAGAGGGUUAAAUUUGUGUGCUUAUAUAUUUCGCAUCAGUUCUUCAUUUUUUAGGGUUUUGGAUUUGGGAUUUCACGGCCACACAAUUGGUGGUGUCGCCGUUGUCAUCCGUGUGUGUAUGUCGGAGGAGGAAAAAAAAAGUGAACAAUGAAAAGGAGAGGAAGGUGUGAAACUGUCAAAAUAGUAAUAUUAAAUAAAAUAUAAUAAUAAUAUAGUGUUAUACCUUUUUUGGUCAUUUCACAUAGUCACAGCCAAGGAUGAAAAUAUCGGUAAUAUCGGAAAUAUCGGUAGUCUGAAAACACGGAAAUAUCGAUGGAAAUAUCGGGAUAAUAUCGAUAUCGAUAAAAAUUACAUGGAAACCACGGAAAUUGUAAGAAAAACUUGGAAAUUUUUAUUGAAACUUUGCAGGAUGUUUAUUUAGUCAAUUAUCUAUUAGUUUAUCACAAAAAAUUGGAAGGAAAUGCAUUGCAUGAUGAAUUUAACAUUAUCAAGUUGAUUAUAUAGCGAGCUGACAAACAUUGUGAGUGUAGAAAAUAUGUAGAAAUUAAUGAAAGAAGUCUAAACACACCAUAAUCAUUUAUAUAUAAUGAAUUAGUACAAUAUUUUACACUUUAUACAUUGUAUGGUAAGAUACAUGAGUGACUUAGUACCACAUAGAGUUCCUAUGAGGUUCAAAAUUUUCACUAUCUUCAUCAUCUCUAUGUGUAGAGUGAGUGUAUUUUGAAGAGUAGUUAGCAACCAUGACAAUGGUUUUCAAGAACCAAAACCCAAAAGUCAAUAGGAAACCGAAUACUUCGGUAUUUUUCAGGAUUACCAAACAAAUGGGAUUUGGAAACCAAUCCCAUAUCGAAAAUUUCGGUAUUUUUCGGGAUGGGAUUCCUGAACUUCAGGAUGGUUUUUUGGUUUGGGAUUUUUCGGUUUGGGUUUGAGACUUUUUUCGGUUUGGUUUGGGAUUUUCCGGAAUUUUUUCCAGCCCUACCAUGUAAGUGACCAAAUAAAAAAUAGAAAAAUUAAAAACCACAUGCCAUUGACUAAGUAAUUAAUUAACACAAUUUAAAAUAUAAUACCACAAAAAAUUUGGAAAAUGUGCAAAUUUGUUUCUUGUAAAAAGAAUUCAAAACAAAAGCAUAUAUAUUAAUAUUGUAGCAUAUUAUCAUAACAACACAAGUGGUAUAGUGGUUAAGGCCUUAAGGAGUUAAGUGGGAGGGGUUCGAACCCCUCCAUGCUCAAACUUGAGACUUUUCAAAAUUUUCAGGAAUUUUUGGACUAAUAUCGCGAUAUUAUAGCUAAUAUCGCGAUAUUUUGACGAAAACUCAUUGGAUACUCAUUAAAAUAUCGAUAAUCCAAAAAAACGAAAAUAUCGCCGAUAUAUCGGCGAUAUUUUGGAUAUUUUCUUCCAUGGUCACAGCUGUUUUAUAUAAAAGUUUACCAAACACUAUCAUACUGCUUUUUUUUUUUCCAAAAGCACUUUUACAAAAAAGUUUACCAAACACUAUCAUACUGCUUUUUUUUUUUCCAAAAGCACUUUUACAAAAAAGUUUACCAAACACUCUGCUGCUUUAUUUCAUAGUCGCUUAUUCUCACAUCAACUUUUUUUCAAAGCACAGCAAUACCAAACCAGCCCUAGCUGUGUCACGCGUGGUUCCAUUCGAUCGAAAAUUCUCACUCCAGGUACGCAUCUUAAAUCCCCUUUUGUAUUUGGGGUAUUCGCUGAUUUACCCCAUGAACUUGUAAGAAAUAGUCAAUUUCCCCCCUGAACUUUAAUUUUAGCCAAUUACCCCCAUAAACUUGUGUAAAUCACCAAUUUACCCCCUGCCGUUAUAUUUUAGACUUUACCAUCCAAUUCACCAUCCAAUUCGAUCACGUGCUCGGCACAUGCUAAUGAUGUGAGGAAAAAAUGGUAAUCAUACACCACAACCAAACCUAAUCGUUGUUAGGUAUAUGGAGAAGCAGGGGAAGGCGAGCCACAAAGAAUUGGGCAUUCUAGGGUUACAGUCUGAGAAAAGAUAUGGAGAAUAGAUGGUGAAAUCAACAAAUUGCUACCAAAUAUUGAAGGUAUUUUGAGUUUUGAAGUUGAGAACGAUGAGUAUCGUGGUCAGGGAUGGUGGGCAUCCUCCAAGAUACAGUAAGUCUUCACUUUUUCUUUUUCAGUUUGUUUAAUAUGUGAAAGGUUUGCUUUAUGUGUUAUUUUUCUAGUCGUGUGUGUAUAUUGGGUCCCUUGAUUGUUUUAUUCAGUUCUAUGUCCCACACCCUCCCACCCUAAUCCUAGCCCAGCCACACCCACACGCCAUUCUACCUUUUAAAUUUUUCAAGAAGGGGAUGGGAGAGAGUAUGGCCCUGAUGUGGAUCUAACUUGUUUUGUUGAGUCGAGGUAUCCUCGUAUUUAGCAAGAAACACCAUUUGCCGAGUCUCUUAAUUUACCUUCUCUAAGCUGCAUAAUCUCGAAUUUAUUUACUGUAUUAUGGUCUUUUGAUUUGCUAUAUAGUAUUUUAUUUUUUUUGUUUGUUUGUUUAUGAACUCUUUUGAUUCAUGCUUGCUUCCAUAGAUUGUGCCCGAAAUAAAUAGGUUUGUUUGUAUAACAGGCAAAGCCAAUAAUUAGUAAAUUAUUUUCUUUUGCUGGAAGCUUGCAUAUAGAUUGUGGCCCAAAAUAUUUAGCAAGCUAUUUGCUACUUGUUUGGAUAACAAACCAAGCAAAUUAUUCCCUCUUGCUUCAAGCUUCAUAGAUGAAAGAUCUAACAAACAAGCAACGUUGCAGGUCUUUGCUGGUAUAAUCUUUUUGGUGUAGCAUUGUUGGCACUUCCUGUAUACUAUCAACUUUGCACAUAUAAUAUGUUUAGUUGUUGCUUUUAUUGACUUUCUUUAAAUAAUUAGCAAGUUAGGUUAGUAAAUGUUGUAUAUUGGUGGAUAUUUGGUUAGUAAGUGUUGUUUGGUGAUCCUGAUUAUAUUGUGAUGUAUUUGUUGUAGGUAAUCAUGACCUAUUCACUUGAAAUACACCAUGGUGGUCACUUUAAAGCUGGUCAGUAUGUGGGUGGUAUUGUACAGUGGGUUGACAAUUAUACUAAAGGUUAUAUGUCCAUGCUUGAUCUAUAUGCCAAAUUAACGUUUUUUGGUGGAUGUUGUUAAGUCUGUUGCAUAUUUUUUGUGGAUGCUAGGUGCAAGGCUGUUAAGUCUAUUGCAUAUUUUUUGUGGAUGCUGUUAACUUUAUUAAAGCACUCGAAGUAAGAAUCGUUAAUUUCAUUUUGGUAAACUGGGCACUAAGCCAAUAUUUUUCAGUUGCUAAUUAGACUUCUAUAGCUAAUUUAGACAAAAUUGUACGGAGUGAACUAGUGGAAGAGAAGAAGAAUAAAGAUAGAAUGUCUACAUUAGGGAUAAAAUUAUUUUUUUACCCUUAAAAAUUUGGCAUGUGCCAUGCAUGUGACCGAGUUGGAUGGAAAAUUGGAUGGAAAAUUCUCAAAUCUAACAUCAGGGGGUAAAUUGGCUAAUUACAAAAGUUCAUGGGGGUAAUUGGCUAAAAUUAAAGUUCAAGGGGGAAAACGACAAAUACCUCUUUGUAUUUUUAUCUUUCCUGAUUGAUGAUUUAAUUUGGGUUUUAUUAAUAGUUUAAUUUGGAGUUUAACUGAAGGUUUAAUUCAGGUUUAUAGUUGGGGUUUAAUUCAGAGUUGAGAUGUAUUCGUGGUGAGUUUUUACUGAUAAUUCAUCUUCAUUCAAAUGAAUAGUUAAAAUUUACAGUGAAUGAAGAAAUUUAUGAGUUUUAACAAAUUUGUAAAUUAUUCUUAUACAUUUUAUUGAGGGGUAUGGGGAUCUAAUCGAUUUUUCUCUGUAGUGGGAUUGAAAAUUGGGACUUUGUCUCUCUCCCUCUCUCCUAUGUGUAUGAAUCGAGUUCUGAAGUGCGUAUGCAAAUGGGCAUGUUCACUAACUAAGCUUUCAAGGGGAGCGCAUCAAUGGUUUGCUUGCUGGGGGGAUACGGAGACUACUGGUGUAUGAUUGGUUAUCUUUUAUUUUUUAUUUAAAUUAUCCAUAUAUAAUGUGGGUAUAUUUAUAAUAAAGAAUUGUGAUAAGCCAGUGUGCCAUACGACUUUGAAAGCAUUGAUUUUGGGGUAAAUUACAUAAUAGCCCCUCAGGUUUGAGGUCUAUUUGCAAUCUUAUACAACAUCUUUAAAACAUUUCACUUUCAUACCUUAAGUACUAUUUUAUUUCAAUUUCAUACAACCGUUACAUUUUUCAUCUAUGGAUAUGUUAAAUGCUAACGUGGCUGCCACAUAUAUGUCAUGUGGCUGCCAAAUGUCUGCCACGUGGCAAAUAAAAUAAUUUUUAAUUUUUUUCUAAAAAACCUAAAUUGGAAGGAAAAAAAAAGGGACCGAACCCCUGCAACCCAAGAAGAAGAGAAGAAGAAAGAGGAGGAGGAGGAAGAAGAAGAAGAAGAAGAAAAAAGAAAGAAAGAAAGCGACCGAACCCAGAAGAAAAAGGAGGAAGAAGAAGGAGGAAGAAGAAGAAGAGAAGAAGAAAGAGGAGGAGGAGGAAGAAGAAGAAGAAGAAAGAGGAGGAAGAGAAGAAGAAAAAAAAAAAAAAAAAAAAGGGACCGAACCAGAAGGAGGAAGAAGAAGAAGAGAAGAAGAAAGAGGAGGAGGAGGAGGAAGAAGAAGGAAAAAAAAAUGAUCGAACCCCCUGCAACCCAGAAGAAGAAGGAGGAAGAAGAAGAAGAGAAGGAGGAGGAGGAAGAAGAGAAAGAAGAAGAAAAAAAAAAAAAAAAAAAAAAAAGGACCGAACCCAGAAGAAGAAGAAGAAGAAGAAGAAAGAGAGAAAAAAAAAGUGGCAGAUAGGUUUUUUUUUUAAAAAAAUAAAAAAUUAUUUUAUUUUCCACGUGGCAGACAUUUGGCAGCCACGUGGCAUAUAUGUGGCAGCCACAUCAGCAUUUAACAGAUCCAUGGAUGGAAAAUGUAACAGUUGUAUGAAAUUGAAAUAAAAUAGUACUUGAGGUAUGAAAGUGAAAUGUUUUAAAUAUGUUGUAUAAGAUUGCAAUAGACCUCAAACCGGAUGGGUUACUAUGUAAUUUACCCUUGAUUUUGUGUUUAGUUUGGAUUUUUGCGUUUGAAUUUGUAGCAUGAUCUUCCAUUGCAGCAUCCAAAUUUUGCAUUUGUAAAUUGUAAAAGAAAAAUGAAGUAUGAGGAAAUUAUAGGACAUUGUGUUGGCUUUGGCCAUUAAGGGUAUUAGCAGGUUGUUCCCCCAUACAGGUGAUUAGUUAGGUUGUGUCGUGGGUUUUCGCAAAUUUCUACCGUGUUUAUACAUGCAUUUUUUGUUAUAGAUUUGGAAGAAAAUAGCAUUACAGGGUGUUCAAUUCCUUAGGUUACUGUUGGACUAGCCAUGUUAUAAUUUUCAAUUGAUUUCUUCACUGUUCGGACUCUCUGCAUUAUAAAUUAGGGGUUUUAGAUUGUGUUUCCUUUCUGUGUUGUUUUUUUUUUUCUGCCGUUUCUUUUCCUCAUUGCCUUUGAAGAAACGAAGUUACAGGUUUGUUUUCAAUUUCUUAUUUACAUGCCUUCAUAUUCAAUGGAAAAUUGGUUUCUUUUAUUUCAACUUUAACUUCAAAAAUGGUUUUAAAUUUACGUAUUUUGUCUUCAACUCUAUUGCUUCCAUGCUAAUUAAGGUAGAUUAAUAAGUUUUGCAACAGAAACAACUAAAAACCAAGUUGGCCUGCAGGGUUAUCCGUUUGUGUAUUAUAUGGAUAAUUCUAGGACUUACCAUAUCAUGUUCCUAACUUGAUGCUCUGGGCAUCUUCUCCUACUAAUAAUAGUGGCACCUUAAUUUGAUCAACCAAAUUUGGUGAAGCACCAGACAAACAGAAACCCAUGCAUACAGAGCCAACUGCACUGAAGCAUGAAUUGAAAAAAAUAAUGUACAUGAUUAUUUUUCCACUACUUAAUUUGUUCCAAGUCACCACAAAUUUCUCUGCAUUAUGGUUGUUAGGACAAUAGAUUAGGUUGCAAGAUAAAUUUCCAAAGUUCUACUAGCUUAGUUACAAAUUAUUUUUCAGAAAUCAAGCGUGCAAAAUUGUUGUGCAUGUUUUGAAAUUGGUUGUAGGAAAUGGGCUUCCAAGUUCCAAGUCUUAACAAUAAUGGACACUAUGAAAUCAGGGUAACCAAAUGAGGAUAACUAUAUACUUCAAAAAUGCAUAUUUUAUAUAUAUAUAUAUAUAUAUAUAUAUAUAUACACACACACACACACAUACAUACAUACACACACAUAUACGUUCUAUCAAGAAUCAGAUUUGAUUGGCACAGCUGAAGAUGAAGAUGAACAAUAUGAGGCUAGCUAGGAGCUGAGUAAAUUGCAUUGAUUACCAUGUUGUAUUGGCCUAGCUACUCUGCAGUUAUUCUUCAAGGUUGGAUAUAAUGUAUCUACCUAUAUAAUCUCAGCCCGGGACACACACACACACACACACACACAGACAUGUCUCGGGCUGAGAAAUAUGAACAAUUAAUGGGUUUUCUAUUCAAAUUUACUUUUUUGUGAUUUUAGGGGUUUUGUUUCUAUUCCAAUUAAUGUGUUUAAUUGGUUUUGUUUUCAGUUUCAGGAGACCCUGAUUUUUUCGUUUUUUGGGCAUUUUCUUUGCAGCCUUGGAAGCCCUCUGUGCUCAAGGCAAACAAUUUCAACUUUUUACUUCUAAAGCGUAGCUCUUAUUUAGCAGUAGGUACUCCGUUGCAUACAAUAAUAUGUUUUGUGUUAUGCUGUUUUACCCUUUUGUCACUCUGUGCACUCAGAAAAUAAGCCACCCUAAUUCAAGCUUUCUAUCUUCAGAUCACUAGCAAUAAUCUCAUCAAGGUCCCAGGAGGAAUCACGAGGAUUCACUGCCGAAUUGGUAUGUACUUAUGCUUUUGCAAAAAGCCCUUUUCUUGCCAUUUUUCUAUUUUAGAAUUGGGACCAAAAUGAUUGAGUGAUUUUGAAAAACACAGAGAUAGAAAAAAUGGCUAUCAAGCAAGCAGGCCGUGAGUAUUUAGACAUAUAAUUUUCGGUCAAAUGAAAUAGUUGGCACCACAAGCUUUUAAAUAGGGAGGGAUGUUUGAUUAUAUAUUUAAAUUAAGCAACGAAUCUUGCAUAAGAAAAUGAUCCAAGUUGAAGUAAACCAAAUAUAUGGUGCAACAACUGUUACUUUGGUCAAUCUUCAUCACACUAAUUAAAUGAGCUCGAGGGGUUGAUUUUCACAGUAACUACUGACUUUUUAGUAUGUUCCGGAUUAUUUGAUAGUGUUAAUUACUUUUUACAUUUUUGAGGUCCGGAGUGAUUUUUAAAAUGGGUUAUGAAUUUUAAUUUUCUCAUAUUACACUCUUUGCUUCAGAUUUUCCACGUUUUGACUUGGACUUCUUUUUUACUUUGUUCUGUUUGAAGAACUUAGUACUUUUGAUUUCAGUAGCAAAAUAAUUUGAACAGGGUGAGACAGAGAGAAAUAAAGCAUCUAUUUGAUCCCUGUACUUUCUCUUAUUCUUAUGUGUCAUUAAGGUCAAAUAUCUGAAUUUUAACCUAUCAUCAUGUAAGUUUUAUAGUGUGUUUUGGAAGCGGGAGUGUGUGAAAUGGGUUGAUGCUGCUGAUAGUGUCCAAUUUGGGUACACUUCCCAGCUAGCAGAGCAAGUAACAGAGAGCUUUUUCCUACUCAAAUUUAAUGAUUCAAGCUGCUUAAGACUUGCAUAACUUUUACAAGUUGUAGUCGAUGUGCCUGAGUUCUUGAGUCUUCACUAAUGAAUGUAACCAUUAAGACUUGGAAUCUCUUUGGGGGGGUAGGAAAUAAUGUUAAUGGUUUGUUGAUGCUUAGGAGACUCUGUGGGGCUGCUUAAAUUUAAUAUAUUCAGUUGCAUAGAGUCGACAUGACAUGCAUAGCGAUGGUCAGAUUGCCACCGUUAGUUGGUGGUAUUAUCAUUACAACACAUUCAAAUUUAGGAUUUAGAAAAUUUAAUAAUAAAACUGAAAUAUAUGUUCCAUGCUUUUUGUUUUCAUUUUGGGUUAAAAGGUUGGAGCUUUGGAUUUGGAUUUACCAUUAUUAACAUAUAAUUUUGUGCUCCGGACACCAUCUUGGGGGUCUUAACAUGAUUGUUCUUUUAUUUCAUAGAUUCAAAAUGUGUUUAGUAUCUCAUUUAAUUGGUGUACCUUCGCUCAUUUAACUCAAAUUUAAUACGAUUUGGUCCUCCAAUUUCUCUAAAUUGCUAACGGAUUUACUUUCUUUGGAAAUUUUUGGAACUCUGGUUGUGGAAGGAAGAAGCCGUUUCCUUGCUAUUUUUAGGUAUUCGAUUAUGCUCCCUGAUUGGUGUUCAAAAUCUAAUUAGUUAUAUUAAUUUUUUAUUUAUCUUUGCAAAUCAAACACACGUUGAAAUUCAAAAUACAAAUAAUAAAUAAUAAAUUUUGAAAUGGAAUAUCACAAAUAUAGACGAACAAUGACACACCCCGAUCCUAGAAUCAAGGCGUGCUGGCCGUCACGUGAGCGUGGCGUAACCAAAAGUGCGAUGCGGAAGCAAAAGAUAUGGGAAAUACGAAGGAAUAAAAACCAACUACUAGCAAUAAUAUCCAACUAACAUGCUAGAGUGAGUUUAAGUGUGCAGUACACAAUUUCAGAGCAUAAUUACUAGGUGCAGUCAAGUAGGACUAUAAUUAAAUUACAACACCCGCAUGUGAGUCAUACAUGCAGGAAGUCUGUCAGAAUGCCGAAGAAAAACCUCGUGAGCCACCAACCGCUAACUAGAACCUGGAGGGGCACAAAACAAAAUUGAGCGGGUCAGUAAAACCAAAGCUUUUUUAAAACAUUUCAUUUAAAACAAUUUUAACCCCUCACUGUAAAACCUGUAUACUUUCCCAGAAAAUAACAUAAUAGCAUAAUAUUGGUUCAUAUCUCUCAAAACAUCAAUCUUAUCAAAAUCCAACAAGUAUGCCACGCUAUAAAUGACAAUGACAGAAUAUGGAUGCAUCAAUAUAACAGGUGACAUAAUGAAUCAACCAGAGACCCUGCAGUUGGUCCUGUACGGUUAAUUCUAGCUUAAUAUCCAACCAACCGGAGUCACCACGGUGACCUGUACGGCACUACUCUGCACAUAAGUCGGAACUACCUGAAGUAGUUUGUACAACAAGAAUGGUGUAAGAAUACGCUCUAGUGCUUCUCUCAUCCAUCAUCUGCGCGCAUAAUCUAAGGUCACCUACUAGUCGGAACCACCUCUAGUGAUCUAUACGACUAGUAUGUCGGAACCCUCUCAUGGUCUGUACGACAUGCACCUACUUGGAUCCAAGGUGUGCGUGCGGUGCAGUGAAUAAUAUAAGCACUAACACCAGGAAGUGCAGGUUAUGAGCUCUCAACACAAAUCACAUCAUCAUUAAUUCAUAUAAACCAUAUAAACUCACUUGAUACUCACCUGUGCGUCCACAGCACCAAUUCACAUAUAUAUAUGCAUCAAUUAUCAAUUCAUAUAUCUCAUAAUAUGCAUGCAUGGGAUUUUAAAACAUACUUUCAUUUAAACUCAAUUUCUGGAAAAAAUAUCAAUAGUAUAUAAGUAUAAACAGAAAUACUGCCCACUCACUCAUAAGUCGAAGGGUCGUAGCCCCCGUAACGUCCCUGGAUGCGCUUGUCCUCGGGAUAGGUAUCACCUAUAUGCGAAACAACUAAAACAACGUUAUUUAAAGCACAUAACCGACAAUUCGUAAUAACUUCUCAUACGAUGUUCAAUUUGGGUAUAUGAAUAUACCACAGUGACCUAUUCGACGUCACGAACGUCAGCAUAUUUGUAGAAAAAAAUUUGGGCUUGUCACGCGGCCCCCCCCCCCACGCGCGUCUCCUACCUUGGGCUCGUCGGACUGGUUUUUCCGGUGGCCGGAAAACUAGAGAUUUUUCAAUCUCCUUGUUCUCCGUCAUUUCUCAACCAUUUUUCACGUAUUUUAUAUCAAAAUGAAGCCCUAAGCAUGUAGAAUCCCGUUACACUACUUUAAGGCUCUAAAAAUAACGAAAUCUCAUUGGAAAAAUUCCAAGAAAACCGACCAACUUUGAACUCAAUGAUCUCGAUGUCCAAAACCUUCAAACUAAGCACUUCGAGCUUCCUUAGGACCUCACUAAGCUCACUAUAAGCUUAGAAUUCCCUGAAAUCCAACAACUCACGUGUGCAUGAAUAGUGAUCUCAAAAUGGGCUUCGGAUUUCACGUGAUAUCGAGGGUUCCAAGUUCUAAAAAUUGCACCAAUGAACUCACAAGCUUGCAAGGAUUCACAAACUUACCUUUUUGACGUCAAUCCAUGAAGGUUGGAAGGUUUUGGUGCCUCGUCCGUACGAGUCGAGAGGGAGAGAGGAAGAACUGAGAAGGGGAGAGAGAUAGAGGGCACGGGGAAAGGGACAGGGUGUCCCCCGUGUGUGUGUGGUCCCUCAAAACAAUUCCACUCUUUAAUUCCCUAACCACACAAAUAUACACAUAUCCUUUAAGCAAAUUCCAAUUUUUCCAAAACUUAGGGAAUAAUAUAUAUAUUAUUCAUAAUAUGUCACACCCAUACCUUAGUAACCGCCAGGGCAGUUUCGUCGUUUCACAACCUCGAGAAUAAAAUCUCGGGACGGACUGUGACAAACAACUUUUAAAUCAGAUCAAUCUUUUUAGGGAAGACUUGAUUAAAUUUUUUUUAUUUAAACCCAAUAAUUUUAUCUCUUCACUCAUUAGUUUUUGUAUAAACUUUAUAUUCCAGUUAUACCUUAAAACAAAUGUGGUCCACAUUAUGUGGGUGUGGAGAUAAAUUAUUCAAUUAUAUAAACUAGUAAAUGAGUUGGUGUAGCGUCAUCGGAGCCACCGUUGGUGACUUGGUCACAGGUUUGAUACCUCCCUUUUUUGUCUCUAUUUGUCUUUUAGCUAAUACUAGCAAUAGUGUCCGCGCGUUGCUGCAGGUCUUAAAACUACUUGACGUAAAAGAAGAAAAAAGGCAGUACAAACUUGUAAUGGAUAGUUUGUAAUUAACAGGUUUUUAGUAUGUUCAUGCUAUUUAAACACAAAACAUAGUAAGAAAAAGAAGCAGAGUGUUGACAGAAAGUGAUACACUAAAAUUUCAACAGAGUAACUAUUACAAAUAUAUAAAUUAACAAAAUGCAAAUCAAAACUAACCAAUUCAAUUAGAUAAUACUGCAGAUUUCAUAGGUAUUUGUUAAGGUGUAAGCUUAAAGCAUUAAAUUUAUGCAAACACGUUAAGUAUGUGCGUAAUCUAUCAUAAAUCAAAUGUAAACAAAAUAUGGAAAAAUAAAUAGGUAAAUAUGCUUUAAAAUUAGUUCACAAAAAAGGAAAUUAACAUGCCAUCACAACUUUUCAAACCACUAUUUUAUUUCUUAGGUCUCACCUUCAAGUGUUCUAAAAUCGUGGAAGGUGUUGCAUAUGUCCUUUACUGUGCAAAAAUGAAACCUGCAAAACAAACAGCCAAAUGAAACUUAUAUUCAUAAAUUUUAGAAGCAUCAGAACCAUAAUAACCUGCUGUUUCAUACACCUUUAAGGAAAUAAACUUUGAAAGAAAUGGAGCAACUCGAAAAUAGCAACUAAUAUUUCUAACGAAAAACCUCUUUGUUUACCAGCAUAGAAUAUAUAUUAAGGUAUACAUUAUAACAUUUGGUUAUCGGCAGUAGAAACACAAAACACUCUUCAGCAAAAGCAUUUAAGCAUCUAGAAAAGCCAUUCUAAUCGAUGUAAUGUGAGACUUAAACUUUUUAAUACCUAUUUCCAAUAUGUAUUAAUUGUUUUAUUUUAUCAAAAAAUUCUAAUCUAAUUUGAUAUAAUAUAUAUGUCCCCAAGGAUUGAUCAUAUUACCAAUUAUCAAAUCACAUUCUCUGUUUCUCUCUCUAACAUUUUUCUACUUAGUUUCCAACUCAUUUCAAACAUAUUCAAAAGGCGAAUUCAGUCAACUUAUCCACUCACUUUCCAACUCAUUCAAAUGCAAAGGAAAGCUGAAUCUGCAUGCAGUAGCUAAAGCUCAAAUCUUUACCAAGUAAUUUUCUCAUUCUUCAACUAAUUAUAUACAAAAAUAUGAAGCUUUACCCUUUCAAUUUCUUCUUCUUCUUCUCAUUUCUUCCCAAUAAAUACAAAUCCAUUCUAAUCCAACAAUUAUCAAUGCAUCUGCAAACUGGAAAAAGCAGGAGGACAGAAAACGUACCCAAAAUAUAACAGCAGCAUCACAGGUGCUAGCAAAUCUCAGAUUUAUUAAUUGAGCAACCAAAACGCAAAGUAUUCUUUUAGCCGGGAAAGCCCCAACAAAGCACCACAACUGACAGCAAAACGAAAUCUACAAAACUGUAAACCUGGAAAUUCACAAAUGUCCAUGCUUAAACAUAAAGUUAAUAAUUAACAUUCUACUAACAUUGAUUAAUUAUCAUUCAAGAACUCCUCCCAGAUGAAAAUACAAACGAAAAUUGGAGAUUAAGUUAUUAAAGAAUAGUAACCAUGAAAUUAAAAUAGGAAAAAGCUGAAAACUUUGUAAGAUUUGAUUGAGACAGAGUGAUCAGAGUUCAUACCAUUUUCAAGAGAGAAAAAAAAUAGAAGUCACGGCUGCUGCAACUGCUUUCUCUGAGUUCAUCAAGUUUCUGGGAAAUUUAUACUCUUUUAGCUGGGAAAGCCCUAACAAAGCACCACAACUCACAACAAAACGAAUCGUUAGGGUUUCAUCCAAAUUAGCAAAAAUUCAAAAUAAAACUGAAAUACAAUCAUUAUAAAACACACCUUAGCUAAAAAAGAUCGAUUCCGCAGUGAUCUGAAGACAGGAUGCACCCAAAAGGGUGGAAAUCGGCCAAAAUUCCGCCCACAACCAGGAAAUCGCAGAUGAAAAAAAAGACAAACAUGCGAAUAGAUUCACAGGAUUGAGAAAAUUUAGCAAACGGACGUUGAUAACGGAGACCGGAAAUAUGCAAAAGCUGGAGAAGGAAAAAAGGGAGUGCGAGAGAGAGAAGAGAGAUGGAAAUCAGAAAAACACGUAUGAUGAAGGGCAAAGUCUCGCGGUAGAAAUCAUAUUCAAGAUCCGAUUGACCUCCAUCAUUCAUCUCCUCGAUGACGAAAUCUUAGCCGCCAUCGGAAGAAGCCAAAGAAACCAGAUUGAUCAGCGGUUCUUGGGCGGAGGAGGAGGCGGAGAGAAGCAGGGAAACACGAAAGAUUGACGCAGGGAGAAAAACACAGAAACAGAGAGGAAGAGAAAGGGAAAAGCGACGGAAGAAAAUGGAAGAGCCCUCGAGCACCUUCUCACAAAACUGCUAUUCAUUUGACAGCAAAGCAAUAGGGCAAAGUUGAAUAACAAAAAAAAAGCAGGGGUCAAAAUGGAAGAACACUGUUACUUUCACUGUUCAUGAACAGUACCACCUGAGUUUGGGUUUUAGUAUAUAUAGAAUUUUGUCACCUGUGGGCUGGUUUGGUAUUGCUGUGCUUUGAAAAAAAGCUGCUGUGAGAAUAAGCGGCUGUGCUGUGAGAAUAAGCGGCUGUGAAAUAAAUCAGCAGAGUGUUUGGUAAACUUUUUUGUAAAAGUGCUUUUGGAAAAAAAAGCAGUCUGAUAAUGGGUCUUUUCAUUAAAGGAGCACUGUAGUUCUGUGUGCUUUGAAAAAAAGCUAGUUUUCCAAAGCUACAAAUUGCAGCUUCAGCUUUUUCUUUUGAUUUCAGCUUAUUCUCACAGCAGCUUCCAAAAUAAGCCUUUUUUUUUAAGUUUACCAAACACCAAAAACACUUCCAGCUUUUUUUCAUAGGAGCUUUUUUUAAAAUCACCUCAACCCCAAACCGGGGCUUAGACUCCUAUAAUUUAGGUGAAAAAUAACUUCUUUUUUUUUAACCGAAAGUGUGUCUUUUAAUGUGAAUAAAUUCUGUUAACGAGGAUUUUGGUCUUUGAAUUUUUUAACCGAAACUGAUGCUACACUGAAAUGUGAUAAAACUUCAGUCAUGCAUCACUAAGAAUCCCAUUUUUCAUCGGAAACCCAAGCAUAUAAAUGGAAGGUAUCAUUUCAUUAAGAAAGCACUGCAACAACGAGUGAUUGAUUUAGUUCAUUGUCCCACAAAUGAGAAGUUGCUGAUAUCCUUACAAAGACUCGGGCAAAAGAUCAGUUUAAUCAUCUGAGAGAUAUCCUUGGUGUGAAAUCAGUUCACAAUUUAAGAGUUGUUGAAGCAUAAAUUGUAAACUGAUUUGUUGAAGACUCAGUAUUAAUCUUAGCUUACACAAAAUCACUGAUUCAAAUUCCAAAUUCUAACAAUAACAUGCUUAGUUUUCCUGUCAAUUUGUUGAAUAAGUUUGCGUAUUUGUUGAACAAGUUUGCAUCAAAUCUUUGUUUAAUACAAGGUGCAUAAUUAGGUUAUCUUAUACAAGUUUAAGUUGUUGACCCACAAAACUAUCAAUCGCUAAUUAACGUAGGGACGUGAGCAAGAGUCUUUAAACUACACCUCUUUCUUUUUACUGAACUGGUCAAAUAUUUAAAUUUUUUGUUUAAUACAAGGUGCAUUGGAAUUUUCUUCACGAGGAUUUAAAAUUAUUCACGCACAGACGUACAUAAAUAACAAAAAUUAUUAUAAUUUAGAAGAGCCUCUUUCUUUUCAAUAAACUACUUGACAAAACGUAAACAUCAUAAUGUCCAGUUCAAUGAGCUAGAGUUCAAUGGAAAUCAAAACUCCGUCGGUGGAAAUGACAGUUGCAGAAACCCCGUUGGUUGUGCGUUUGGUACGUGGGACGGGACGGGACGGGACGGGACGGAACGGGACGAGGCGUUCCGUCCCGCGUUUGGUGCGCCAAAAAUGGGUGGAACGGGUUGUUCCACGGGACAGAUUUUGGGUGUUUUUGCGUCCCACCUCCACCCCCUGGAACGGGUUUGUUCCACGUCUGUGGAACACAAUGUUUUACCAUUUUAAGACAAAUAUACCCCAUGUCUUUUUCAAAAAUUACACCUUCGUUCCCGUCCCGUCCCGUCCCGCCCCGUCCCGUUCCGUCCCGUCUGCGUACCAAACGCACCCAAAGGGUUGAUAGAAACCAUUGUCAAAUGAUAACUUUUAUUAAAUUAUUUGCAUAUGUAAUGUAUAUUAUGCUUUAGAAUAUUUCAAAGUCAAUGAUAGCAAAUAACAAGACAUCUAUAAGAUCCAUCCGUAUCUUACACAUGAUAGCAAUUGACCUAGUCUUUCUUUCUAUUGAUUAUUACUUUGAUGGAGAGAGGCAUCUGUCUACCCAAUUGCCUAAUUGUUGGAUCAAAUUCUUUGUUCACAAAGCCAAUCAAAAUGAGUUUACCUACUAGUACAGACUGGAGCAAAACCUCAUGGAAAGUUAGAGAGAACCACAAUCUAGACUUUGAAGAAAAUUCAAUGGUUCCCUUCUUUUCUUCUUUCUUUUAAUUAUAAGUAAUAUUCUAUACUAAUUUACGUUAAGGGAGGAAAUUUUAGACUCGAGAUGCAGCGGAUUGAAGAAGAAAACUUUAACUAUCAAAACAAUUCAACACUUGCCAAUAGUUUCCUUUAUAGUAGUUUGUUUAUUUUCUCAUAUAAAUCAAUAUGUAAUCACCAUUAUCUUGUUUGAUUUUGGUGCGGAAUGCAUUAAGCUUUGAGGAGUAUUUCAACAUUCUGGAAGAGAUGUGACUAGACCGAUCGCUCUAGUUGGUAAGUAACUCAACCUAAAGUGAUUAUUGUUCAAGAAAUUCUCACUAAUAAUUCAUUAUUUCAAUCUCACCAUGUCGCGCAAUUAUCGCCCUCGAUAUGCAAAAGUAUUGGAUAAUAAAGAAGAAGAAUGUUAUAAAACAUCGAUUUGAAUGGGAAACUGUGAACUCAGAAACUUUGAAGAUCAUAACUAAGCAAGCAUGGCAACAAUAUAAAUUGAAAAACAUCAGAAUUUAUAAAUUGUUACGUAACAAUUUGAGACCUCCAAUCACCAAGUUUAAAUUUCAUGUAAAUAUGUGUCAUUUCUAAAUUUCUAUGAGUGAGAGUUUAAAAAAAAAAUCUUAUUUAAAUUCCCUUAUUUUUUUAAAUUAACCAAAUAAGAAAAUUUACAAAUUCUAAAAAAUUAAAAUUUCAUUUAAAAUUCCUUAGUAAUAUGAAAUUUCCUCAUCCAAACAAAAUGUAAUAUUACCUUUUCCUCUAAAUCCGUUUUUCAUAUUACCCCUAAAACAAUUUUUUCAUAUUUCAAUUUUACCCUAAAAUUUUAAUUUAAUUUCACAAUUACAACUGGCGUGUUUUUCUGACAAUGUCCUACGUGUGUUCGUAAAGUGGCUGUAAGUCAAAGUCAACAGCACGCCAUGUGGAGCGUUGCACAAGUGUCCAAGAGUGGCUUAAAAGUGUUGUAUUUAUUUUUCUGCUAGCGUGUUGAAGUGUCUCAAAGUUUUAUUGAGAAGUCAAAUCUCACACAAACAUAUAAAAUCACUAUAUAAAUAGGAAAUUGUUAUUAGUAUUUUAAAAUUUUUAUUUUAUAUUCUUUAUAAAUGUAUUUUUUUUUUUAUAAUUAUAGGAAAUUUGAAGUGCCAAAUAAUAUUUUUGGAAUGUUAAUAAUAAUACCCGAUAAAUAUUGUCUGUUAACAAUCUCUAAUAAUGACACGCGUGUAAUCAUCAUUUCUCUUGGCAUUUGAGAACGAAACAUUCGAGAGGGAAUCAUAUGAUGAUAUAGUUGAACUACAUCUUAUUUUAGCAUCAAUAAUCUGAAUGAUAUUUUUUUUGUUUCUACAUCACCUAUUUACGUGACUAACGUUGUAACACUCUUUUAAAUGACUAAUGUGUAAAUAUAUAUAACUAGACGAAACAAUAAAUUUGCUUAUAGAGUUCAAUAUUGUUGUAGACAAAACAAGAUAACUUUAGAUGAAACGACAAAUUUGCUCAUGGGUCAAAUGUAGAACUCAUAUAAGUGUAAGGCUGAUUGUGCCACAUGCGCUUUAGGCAAGCGGCGGAAUUAUUUGCCUUGUACUAGUCAACAAACUCGAGUCUAUUAGAAAUUAAGUUAUUUAAUUGAAAAAGAAAGGAAUUGACUGAUUUAUUUUUUUAUAUAUUGACAUGCAUACUUUAUGGGGUCAACAAUGAUGGCCGUGCGCCUUGCAGGUCAAUGGUUGGACUUUGGAGCUAAACCUCAUGGAAAGCUAUAGAAGAACUAAGAUCUAGACUUUGAACAAAAUUCAAUGGUUUCCAUUUUUUUUGUUUUUUUUUAUUCUUCUUUUAAUUAUAAGCGAUAUUCUAGGGUAAUCUAUAAUAAAAAAGGAGAAAAGUUUAUACUCAAGGUUCAAUGAGUUAAAAAAAAAAAUCUUAAUAAUCAGAAUAAGCCAAUACUUUCAUUUCUAGUAGUUUAUUUAUUUCCUCAUAUAUAUAUAUCAAUGUGUAAUCAACAAUAUCUUAUUGAUUUUGGUUGAGAUACGGAUUAAACUUGAAACCUAUUUCAACAUUUUGGAAGAGAUGGUGACUUGAUCAAUCUCUCUAGUUGGUAAUGUACCUCAUCCUAAAGUGAUUAUUGUUCAAGAAAAAGUGAAUUCUCACUAAUAAUUCAUCAUUCCACUCUCACCAAGUCGCAUAAUUAUCGCUCUCAGUAUGUAAAAGUACUGAUAAAAAAUUAAAAAGUUACAAAACAUAUCGAUUUGAAUGGGAAACUGAGAACCUAGAAACUUUGAAGGAUCAUAACUAAGCAGGCAUGACAAUAAUAUGUCUAUCGAAGCUAGUUAAGAACUGUGGUGUAAAAACUUGAGGAAAGAGUUUUGCAUAGAAGUUCUGUGGAAAAGUGAUACAAAUUGGCCAGCCAUUGGUUUCAGUUUCAAGUGAAAAACCAAGCAAUCCAACAAACCUCGAAUGUACUUACGUAGUCAGACAAAGACCUCAAGCUAUCGAGCACAUAUGGUACUUAGGUACAAUGGUUACACUUCUCAGGAGUCCUUAGUAACAUAGUAACAUAAAUAAGUGUGUGCACACAUAUCUAUCUAUAUAUCUAAGUAGAUAUGUUACUCUAAUUCAGCAAUAGCUUCUAACUGACUGUUUAGAUUUCUUGCAGGUGUAGCUGCAUUUGUUCGUGCAGGACUUGUAGAUGCAAAAGGAUUGGGAGGCAUGGUUAAGAUUUCUCCUCCUUCCAGCAUUUGAACAACUUCUUUCAUGGAAGGACGACCUGCUGGGUGCCACUGGAUGCACCAGAGCCCUACAAUUGCGAGUUUCUUUGGAGUUCUACCAUCUCCUUCCUCCCCAAGAUGGAUCCGUAGGUCGUCUCCUUCUUCUAGAAGAUUAUAGAUCCAUUCUGGAUAGUAAAUUUCAGUUGGGAUUGCUGAGGUUGAAUCAAUAUUCUUCUUUCCCCCUACCAUCUCAA